This 69823-nucleotide long non-coding RNA is filed under the name Hordeum vulgare. Its description in RNAcentral is "long non-coding RNA (HVUL_LNC014020)". The stretch from base 3051 to 3175 matches the Rfam family "MIR1120/MIR1122 microRNA precursor family". The record is from RNAcentral. Lineage: Eukaryota; Viridiplantae; Streptophyta; Magnoliopsida; Poales; Poaceae.
AGGUCGAGGGGCGCGACGGAGACCUUGCUCUUGCUCGACUGCUGGACGGCCCUGCAGACAUGCCUCUGUUGCAGCGCGGCCUUGCCGUCGCACGCCAAUGCGGUGCCGAUCCAUGACUUGUUGCCGAAGCUGAGACUGUUGGUGCCCUGAAGCGUAACCAAAGGUGGAAAUUAGCAUAGUGUUGGUGCCCUGAAGCAUGACCAAAGGUGGAAAUUAGCAUAGUGUGCUGUGAGCACAGUCUGACAAGGCUGUGAGCUGAGGAUGCACAGGAUAGCAAAGCAAUCCUGAAGUACUAGUAUGACUGAAUGUAAUGCUACUACUAUGCGCGUCUGUUGGUAAGACAUAUAUAUCUCUGCAAUCCAGAUGUAUAGUAUUAGUAGUAAGAAGUAAGCCACUGUUGCAGCUAGCGCUAUCGAAUCUGCCUAAAACUGCUCCCUGCUCGAACCAAUCUGCCAAUUGUACUAGUACCAUCUAAGAGCGCAGUAACACACGAUUCAAUCACCAUCACCUUGAUUCCGGAGCUCCUGACGGCGCGGUCCGAGCCGGCGACGGGCGCGGAGAAAGCCACCUGCAGAGAGGGGUAAAAAAGAAAAAGUCAGCAGCCGCCGAGCAGGAGCCUGACGGGAUAUGGAUGCGGCGCGGACGUACCUGGGACGCAGCGGCGGUGGCCAUGGCCGACGGACGGAUGGUUCGAGGAAGGGGAGGGGGGGGAGNNNNNNNNNNNNNNNNNNNNNNNNNNNNAGGGGUUUUGAUCUGGGGGAAGGUGGGGGGAGUGGGGCGGCGGGUUUAUAGGGGUUGGAUCGGAGCCGGAGGAGCGAGCUCCUGAGCCCUUGAGGCGACGGAAGGGACGGCGACGUCCGCUGCUGCUGCUGGGGGUUGGUGACGGCGACGGCUACUCAGAUCAAAUCAUCGGCCGCUAAACUCGCUUAGCUUUUUCUGGAUCGUUGAUUUGUUAUUUAGAUUAUUAUAAAAUCGAUGGAGGUGUGAUUAGAUUAGGCAGGUCUCGCAGAGGGUGUUGCGUGGCUACUUGGCUUUGGCUGGCUGCUUCGACUUGGAGCGCCGCUUGAAAUGGCCUGGUGGCGGCGUCCAAGGGCCAUCUUGCCUCUAUCUCACUUGCCAAAGUCAGACGUGCAACCUGCCUCAGCGCUCGGGUCAGGUCAGGUGCACGCAUGAAUCCGCACAGCUGUGCUCGUGUGACUGCCUGCGUACCUCCUGCGUACCAGGGCCGGCCCGAAAAUCCCGGACCGGGUCGGGCCUAUUUGUCUCAUCGGGUCGGGUUCAGGUUGGAAAGUUUGAGUCUGAUGGUUAAUUCCGGUCGGGCUUGGGUCUAUGAAAAAUAAAAUUACGCCCCCGUCGGACCGGGCCUAGUCGGGCUUUUUCUGAUUCGGUCGGGCUUGGGCCUAAAAUUUAGGCUUGACGGCCGGGCCGGCCCGGGCUUGGGCCUGGGUUUUUAGCGUCGGGCUUUUUUUGACCCGGUCCGGCCUGAGUAAUGCCAGGUAUACUUUUGGCCGCCCUCAAAAACUAGUCCGUAGGGGAAUGGGGGACAGGGGAGUCACGGGGCAGAACCGCACGAGAAUGUUCGUAUUCAAUCGAUUGAACAAUAAAAAGUAUUAUAAAAGUAAACAAUAUCCGGAAAUGAUUAUUAUUUUUGAAUGAACAUCGCCGCUUGCGUGUAAGAGUUCAUGGUGGAAUGACAUUCGUGGAGAACGAGACAAAAAAAACAUUGAUGCUUGAAAAAUAUAUAUAUUGGAGUAUCUGUUUCGUUUGAGGCGACCCCCGGUGAGCAAGGUAUGGCAGCCGCCAUACCUUGAUUCCAGACAAAAAUGAAAAGAGGUCGUUGGCACACGCAAGCAUGUCGAGUGCAGCAAGAAAACAUGCAAAGAGGCCAUUGGCACAUGCAUGCACGUCGAGUGCAGCGAGAAAACGUGCAAAAAGGCCGCUGGCACACGCACGCACGUCACACAUUGCUCGAGCGGUGGCUCCAGCGAAGGCGGCAUCAAGCUCCAGCGGUUGUUCGGGCUCUAAGAUGGAAAAGAAGGGGAAGGGACCAGCAAAUCCAAGAAACUCCUUACAAAGCUGUGAUUAUUAUAAUGUAAUGAUUUCUUUGAUAUUGUCUUAACCCAAAAAAACUCCUUUUCUAGGUUCAACCUGAAUAAGCUUGCUAAGCUCAUAGAGAUUUAUCAUGAUGACUUCUCUAAUUAUGAACGUGAACAUAUAAAAGAUAAUCUUGAUCUAUUCAUUAUCCAUACGAAAAGAAUUGAAGAUUGUACAUCUUGUCAUGAUAUUGCAAGCCUAACUAAAAUGAAGGCUGAACUUGAAAGGCAGGUCGUGUUUCCUAUUGUUUAUCGCCUCAUUGAGUUGGCAUUGCUACUACCGGUAGCGACAACAACAGUUGAAAGGGCCUUCUCAUCAAUGAAAAUCAUCAAUACUGAGUUGCGCAACAAGAUGACAGAUGGUUGGCUUAAGGACUUGAUGGUUUCUUAUAUUGAGCAAGAGAUCUUCAAAAGUAUUGAUCUUGGUAAAAUUAAGGAAGAUUUCAGAAUGAUGGUGGGCAUUGCCAUUGCCUGGGUCUUCUAGACGUCAUUGAAAACUUCAUUAACGGUAUGUUUUAGGUUGUUGUCCUAUUGAAACAUGCCUACAUUUUCAAUGUAUUUGGUUUUUUGUUUGUAAUGUGUAUUGAAUCUUUCGAUUUGCAUAAAAAAAUCUUUCCUUAAGACUUCAUAAAAUAUUGCCCUCCGCCUCUGAUCUGUUUGGUUUCCUUUUUUAUCGAGGACUUUAACACUGUCAUUCCAUCACAAAAAAGUAAUUUACACCCUGGUAAAACACCCACAAAGUUUUUGCCUACAAUUCAAAGAAAAAUAUAAAAUCCUUCUUACUCCCUCCAAUCUAAAUUAAUUGACGUAACCUUCAUACAAUGUAAAGGAUGCGUCAAUUUAUUUGAAAAUGAGGGAAUGCCAUUUUUCAUAUUUCACUGUUCAUCAGGCUGCAUGCGGGCUCGUGAUAAGAGCAUCCAUCCCAACACAUUAUGCAUAACGGGCAUCGUGCCAAAAAUACUACUCCCUUCGUCCAAAAAUACUUGUCAUAAGAAUUAAUAUAUCUAGAUGUAUUUUAAUUCUAAAUACAUCUAUUUGUAUCCAUUUACCCGAUAAGUAUUUUUGAAUGGAGGGAGUACCUUUUAAGGCAUACUUUUGCCUAAAAACAAUGCUCCAACAGAUGACGUGUCUGUAAAUUUUUGUGCUGAGUUUGAUAGUGAGGACGACUCGUUCCAGGAAUGUUUGGAAGAACGUCGACUCCGAGGUUGAUGACUCUGAUGCUGAGUUCGAUAGUGAGGACGAAUCGUUCGCAGUCAAUUUAUCUUUUUUAAGUUUGAAUUCAUUUCCAAGUUUGAACAUUUCAUAGUCUGAAAUAUGGAAAUAUGCAAUGACCGUGUUUAAAGCUUGGAAGUCUUAGGUCAUCAGUUUUACAUCAUCUGUUGAAGAUGCUCCGAGAACAUCACUUUCGGUCCUGGGCAUCCGCCCACUCUGCCAAUCCAUUUUCACCAACUCAACAUACCUGGGUACUACUACUUCCCAGCCGGAGCACAGCUUGCACAGGGAUCCGCCCAAGUCAUCUCUCCUGGCAUUGGCAUAUGACACCAUCACACCAUACAGGUUCAGCGUCACCUGCAAAAGAAAAACUACGCUCCAAGCACAAGCACAGGCUCAUACUGUAAAACUGCCAUGUUUCAGUUUUAUAACUUGCUGUCCCUCUUCAUCCUUUGGAACACUUGCCAAAGAGCAGAGCAGGGAGAGCUUCUGCGCCGGUUUAUUUGUCUUUUUACAUGCAGUCCAGCAAAACCCAAAGCACCACCAAAACAUCUAGACACCAGGCCACUACUAUCUUCUUCUUCUUCUUCUUUCUUCUUCCCACAAAGGGCACACGGACCGACAGACAGACGACUCUGUUCUUCCUUUUUCGACAACACAAACAACUACAAACAGCACGGGAGUUUCUUUCCGCUACUACAUCUACAACAGACAGACAGACACAUGGUUCAGGCUCUCACACAGCCUGCAGACACAGCUUCGCUCGCUUGCUCAUAGCCCCAUGAGGUGGUCGAGGCCCCCGUGAGGGCCUCCUCCACCCAUGCCGCCGAGAGAGCCCCCGCCGCCCAUGCCACCGCCGAGAGAGCCCCCGCCGCCCAUGCCACCGCCGAGAGAGCCUCCCCCGCCCAUGCCGCCAAGAGAGCCUCCUCCGCCCAUGCCUCCAAGAGAGCCCCCGCCGCCCAUGCCUCCGAGAGAGCCUCCUCCGCCCAUGCCACCAAGGGAACCUCCCCCGCCCAUGCCUCCGAGAGAGCCUCCUCCGCCCAUGCCUCCGAGAGAGCCUCCUCCGCCCAUGCCAGCGUGAGAGCUUCCCCCGCCCAUGCCGGCGAUCGACAUGUUGCUCAGCAGCUGCUGGAGCCACCGCCUCGUCACGUUAUCAUCCUAUGUCCAUGGGAAAGAAGCAAGCGUCAGUAAACGAUCCCAACUGUGCCAGUGCAGAUAUCGAUUCCAAGAUUGUCUAGCUAGCUAGGGAAAAAACAUGAGUCAGGGAACGCACAUGAAGGAAGCUGUUGAAUGUCCCGUCCUUCAGCACGGUGGGGAGGCAGCUGUUGAGCGCGGCGCAAGCCCUGCAUAACAUCACGUAGAGAUGUUUAGGAACUGGCAGUUCUACCUACGAGCUGUGCUUUUUCGACAGAUGGCGGCACCAACCUCUGGUUCUCUGUCAGCCUGAGGUAGCAGCGGAUUAUGUGCUUCAGUAACCUUGCAGAUGGCUGCUCAGCAAGCGCCUGGACCAUCUGCGCUAAAACAGUGGCCACAGCAAAGAAACGCUCAGCAGUCGCGCAGAUGUAGCGCAGCCCAAUGUCAUCAAGCAGAAUCUUUUGAACAAUAAAGGUGGCCACCUGCAAGUAACAGUAACCUCGGCGGAGUUAGUGAGACUGGUGCACUUGCUACAGAUCUCAGAGUAAAGAGAUCUAACAGUCCAGUGAAAAGCUAUCUAUGGAAGCUUUAAGUACAUCAUGGCUUAACAACCAGUUUGAGUUUCCUGAGUUUCUUGACAUCCACAUCCUUAUUUAUUAGUUACCACUAAGGUAAACUAAAUACUAAUAAAAAUGUUAAAGAUAAAAUAUUCCAGUAAGAUAAGAUAAAGGAUGAUGCAAACUACAGAAGGCAGCUACCACAUAUAAUCAUAGCAAUUCAUACCCUAGAUUGCAGCAUGAUUUCAGUGUUGCACCAUGCAAAUUUCACAUAAGAUUAAUUAACCAUGCCAGUGCAUUGCCAAAGGGUACAAAACAUAGAUCCAGAACUAGAUGAUCAUUAGAUUUAGAUUUGUAAAAGGGGUUGAGUUCAUACUGUUUUGGAAAGUUCACUGCCCAUCUCCAUAGUACGGAGACAUAGAGGGAUUAUUUCAGUUUGAAGCAGAAAUCCAAUAACUUCAGAAUCAUCAACCUGCAAACAAAGCGAUGAAAAUAUUCUUCUGAUAUGCAAAUCGGAUAUCCAAAAUACGAAACACUAGAAAAAUUUCUAACAAAUCAUUAGCCCGUUCGGUUCAAAAAUAUCAAUUCUUGUUGGGAUUCCUGGGGUCCAAAUCCCAACCAGUCCAUUUGAUUAAAAUGACUGGAUUACUGGAAUGAGAAUACCAAAAGAACCAGAUAUAGUCUAAAAAAAAUACAGCCACUGCCCAUCACUGUUUUCCCCUUUGGUUCAACCCUCUCUCCAUUUAAAGCAAAAAUCUAUAUGUACCAUCCAUUCCUAGUUUGCACAAAUAUCAAGUUUUAAAUUACCUUCACAAGAGCACCAAUAACACCCAAGCUGGUAAGCCUCAAGUACUCAAAAGGUCUUGUCUUGCUGGUAGUAUUCAGGAACGGGUACAGGUACAGUGGGAUGUGAGCUGCAAAGGAAAAGGAAGAAGACUCAUUUGUUAACCACUGCUAAUUAAGAUUUACUUAUUUGGUAAAGUCAGAACAGAUGAGGAAAGAUUUUCAACAAUAAACAAUGAAAAUAUUUAAGACUUGGCAUAGAAACAGUCGCGCUCAAUACCAUUCAAGAAUGGGAUCCUGGUCUCAGGGUGUGAAGCAACACACUGCAAUUGAAAAACAAAAGUAAGAUGAAACUGAGGGGCAGAUGACAAGCAAGUAUGAUACGAAAGCAGUAGUAUUCUCAAUUCGCCACAAGGCCCACCAAGAGUGAGGGUUUCCUUUCUUUCAAAAAUAAAAGCAUACCUGAAGAAGUGCAAGUGCAUUGCAGACACGGUUUGAUGCAACUGGCGAUAAAGUAGGAGGUGAAAGUGAAGGGUAGAUUGACACAAUCUCCUGCAUAGAUUUUCAAAAUAGCAAGAUAGACUGAAUAAGGAAAAUGCACAGAACCAUCAAUAAAUUUCAUAUUGAAAGAAUCAAUAACAUGCACAACCACCCUAACUUAAAUAACAAGAAUUCCACCAAGUGCAUAUUUACUCUUGCCAUUGUGACUGAAUUUAGAACUGUGCAAUAACUGUAACCUACCUGGAGCAGUGCAGCAAUGGUGCCAAAGGAGUGCCACAGGAGUGGAGCAAGAUCUUGAAAAAUCUCUCGCUUCUGAAAGAAGAAAACUGAGAAACAGAUUAGACAAUGAAUUUUCACCUCCUGCAUCCCAAAUUUGUAGCCAUACUUCAAAUGUUAAAGUAGAAGUAGUUCAAUAUAUCAACUGUUCAGUUUGGGAUAUUGUCUUUGGAAAGUUGAUGUUUUAGUAAGAAAAGAAUGAUGAUGCUUGCAUUAGUGGCUCAUACCAUGGGUUCGCACUUUUGGUAGAUAAAGAAGUGACAGAAAAGAAAUACCUACUAAACUUCAUCACUUAUCUAGAUAAUCUGCAGAAGUAGAACAUGCUGUUCCUAACAUAUAAAUGUCUUCCUAUAUAGUUCAUAAACUGUUUAGAUUUCUUAACAACCCUGAUAAGUUUGCAAACUCAUCAACAGGACAGGAUUUCGCAAAGUUUACACAACCCCCUGUCCUUGAACAGGGUAUCUCCACCAGAUACUAUAAUUAAAUGUGCACAGCCGAAUACAGACCUUGCAGUCUGCUCCAGCUCAAAAAUAUUCAUUGAAAGUUCACUUUUACCAAGAAACAGAUACAUCAGGAAGCAGGGGCUAUUAACAAAAAUGCACUUCUUCUUGUGGUAUUCACUCCUUUUUUUCGAAAAGGAGGCGUCGCCCCGGCCUCUGCAUCGAGUGAUGCAUACAGCCAUUUUAUUAAGAAAGAAAUAGUCUGAACCAAAUACAAAGUAGUCCGAGAAUCCAAAUGAAAAAACAAAAAAAGGAGUUACACGGCGAUCAUAACGCCAAUACCGACUAUAUCCCUCGGAUAUACACGACUAAGGUUCAAUCCUAUUAGCAUGCCGCCAUCCAUAUUGGUUGAAGAUAACCUGAGCUACCAUCUCCCAUCGGACACACCCAGUAACCAAAGGCUCCCUGGUUUCCACAGGAUAUUGUAUAUAAUAACCGCAGUAUUUUCCAUUUUAUUCAGGGGUACUAUAACAGAAAUGGGCACGUGUCUUGUCGUAUUCGAUCCUAACAGAACAACAUAUUAUAAGAAAACAGCAGUACUUUCCAUUUUAAUCAGAGCAAGCAGAACAAAAAUGAAUACAGCUAUCCGAUGCACACAGCGAAACUGCCAUCCGAGUGUGUCCAACAGAGACCGGCAACCGUUCCCGCUACGGAUGCUAAUAACAAGUACAGCAUAUCACAUGUUUAAAGAGUGCUCCCUCUGUAAACUAAUAUAAGAGCAUUUAUAUCACUAUUUUAGUGAUCUAUAAACGCUCUUAUAUCAGUUUACGGAGGGAGUAUAUCAUAAUAAAAGCUACAAAGAUCACGUACCAAACCCUACUUGCUUUCGCUACACAUCUACAAGUCUACAACAAACUAAGGGACUGCACAAAAUCACCCAAUUCUCGUCAUACUGCAGACAUGAGCAGGCAGAGUUGGACUGAAUUACCCAACACCACAAGCUAGUCAUGGAAUCGCCCUGGGGAGAUAGGAGAGCAACAUUUCCAUAACAAGCAUGGACCAACGAUAACAGGGAAAGACGGGCGCGCACUGAUCUGUACCCUAGAACCUAGAUCACCACGUGAGCCGAUUUACCCAUGGAGAACUGCCCUGAAGCUGACAUCAGAUAGAUCAUCAGGGUCCCCAAUCUACUUCCGCCUAGGCACAACAUUGCAUCACCAAGGUCGCAGCUUUACCAGCCACCACACGGCACACACAGAUCCCCCGAUUCGCCACCACAAAUCCAACCCUUAAACAUCCACCAGACAGCUACAAGCGCGAAUUUUUCCUAAACGGGGAGAGCUAGAGGGGGUUGGGUCCUCCGCGGCGGGGAGGGUGGGGGGCGGGAGGAGGAGGCGACCUUGGAGAGCUCGAGGAGGGCGUUCUCGCGCAGCUCCGGGUCGCAGAGGUCGAGCACGAGCUGCUCCGCGGACACCAUCUUCCGGUCCCUGCCCCCGGCGGGCGGCGGCGCGGCCGACGAGCCGGACGAGGGCGGGAGCGGGGGCGGCGAGGGCGCCCCGAAGGAGGGCCCGGCGGCGAGGGACGGCGGCAGAUUCGCCAUUGAGGACGGGGAGCGGAGGGGGCAGUGGCGUGAGGGAGGGAGCAAAAACUGAGGAGGCGGUCGGGAGGAGGAGGAGGAGAGGGGGCAGAGGUUAUACCAGAAGCGGUAUGCUACGAGGAGGGGCAGGACAGGGAAUCGGCGGCGGUUUCCCAACUUUGCUGCUUGUCUUCAAACGGGGAUGACACAUUUUCCAUGGCCGUCCUCCUCGGCGCCUUGCUGCCAUGGCGUCACACGCGCCCCGGAAGCCGCCAUGGCGGCCACGCCUGAAUCCGGCCGGACUCGCCGGUGGGCGCUUGUCCCACUCCUUCCUUCCUCGGCGCACCAGCUCAGCCACCUAACGCUAUCUCUGUUGUUUUGCGGGGCUCCGUCGACCUCACGCUUCGUGAAGCUUAUUGUCUCACACGAAACAAACAUUGUCCGCAUCGAUGGAUUCGUGCUUGUUCAUGCGUGCCUUGUUCAUUGUGGUGUGUUGAGCUGUAUCUCUUGAACCUACAUAUGUGUGGGGCAUAUGCAUCCAACUACGAACAAGAACUAACGUACGUCCCUGUCUAAAAGGUCUUACAGAAGUGAACAGAAAGAGUACUUGAGAUAGAAGAAAUGCCAAUAUGCAAAAGAAUAUGCCCCGUCAAAACGUCCUUCUCACCAAGUACAUACUUCCCCAUUCCAAAAUUAAUGACUUGAAAAUAACUCAAUUUUGUAUUAAAUUGGGACGGAGGGAGUACAUGGCAAGCAAGGUAUUCGGAGUUGACGUGUAUAAGAUGGUUGAGUAUUUAGGGUUGACGGAUAAAGGAUGAUUGAUUGUUCCACCUGUCACCAGGCAUGCAAAGGUGUGAAGCGAUAUAAAAAGGGAGAGAAACGAUGCACGUUUUUUAUGUGUGUGCAUGCAUGGACUUCAUUCUCGUCAUGCUCCAGAUAUGAGCAGACAGAAUUGCAUUGAAUUACCCAACAUACCGCCAGCUAGUCAUUGAAUCGCCAUCGGGGAGGGGGGAUCAGAAAACACAAUUUCCAUACCAAACAUGAAACAAGGAGUAGGAGGGGAAGACGGGCAUGCAUUGAUCUAUACCCUAAAACCUAGAUCACCGGGUGAGCAGAUUUACCUACAUAACCGCACAACAGCUCGCAUCAGAUAGAUCACCAAGGUCCCCAAUCUAAUUUUGCCUAAACACAACAUUGCAUCACCAAGAUCGCAUCUUUACCAACCACCACACAACUCAUACAAGACCCCUGAUUCCCUCACCGUAAAUCCGAUCCUUAAAUACCCACCACAGAGCUAUAAAUGCAAAAAAUUCCUCGACGGGGAGGGCUAGAGAGAAGUGCAUAGAAGUGCAAAAAAAUUCGGUGGGAGGGAGGAGGCCGGGGGGGGGGGGGGNNNNNNNNNNNNNNNNNNNNNNNNNNNNNNNNNNNNNNNNNNNNNNNNNNNNNNGGGGGGGGGGGGGGAAGAGACCUUGAAGAGCUCGAAGAGGGCUUUCUCACGCAGUUCUGGGUCGCAGAUGUCGAUCGCGAGCUGCUCUGCAGACACCAUAUUCCAGUCCCUCCCGUCGACGGCCGGCACCGCGGUCGACCACCCGGGUGGAGGCAGGAACGGGGGCGGGGAGGGUGCAUCAAAGGAGGGGGUGGUGGCGAGGGACGGCGACAGAUUCGCCAUUGAGGAGAGGAGGGUGUAGUGGUGUGAGGGAGAAAAAACCGAUAAGGUGGUCACGAGGAGGAGAAGCGGCUCUGCCCCUAAAGGGCCAGGUUAUAUUAGCAACAGUAUGCUACGAGGAGGGGCGACACAUGGGAUCGACAGUUGUUUCCCAACUUUGCUACUUUGUCCUUAAAUGGAUGAAAUAUUUUUUCAACCAUCUUUUUAAUGCCUUGCUAUGGUAUCACACACAUCCUAAAAGCUGACAUAGCAGUCACGACAUGUUCGGUUGGACUAGCCGGUGGAUCUAUUUUACUAGCCGUCCUUUCUAAUGCCUUGCAAUGGUAUCACACGCAUCCUAGAAAGCCGUCAUGGGAGCCAAGGCAUGAAUCCGACUGGACUCGUGAUCCAUUUCUCUAGUCGUCCUUUAUAAUGCCUUGUUAUGCUAUCACACGCAUCCUAGAAGUCGGCACGGCAACCAGGGCAUGGAUCCAGAUGGACUUUACGAUGGACACUUUUUCCAUUCCUUCUCGCCCACCAUCUCCCCACUGAACGCUUUUCCUGUUGUUUUUUCCGAUCUUCAUUGAUCUAACAUUUCCUGAGAAAUGUACCUUCUUUGUGGAGGUCGUUGUAUGCCUUCGUUUUGUGCAGAUCUAUGUCAUGCACGUCGAGUGAGUGCGCGUGUGUCGUGCAAGCGUUCAGGGACAAAGACAAAGCUGACAUGCGGGUCUCGUUGUCAUUGACAUAGAUAGAUAGGAGAGAGAAAGAGCUCGAGCGCAAGGUUGGGCGUUGGAUCAAGAUCUGAUGGUCGCGAUAAAAUGGAGGCGUACAAUUUGGCUUAAGUGGUUGGGGUUGUGAGCACUUGCACUACUAGGAAAACCCCUAUAGGUAACCACUUAGUAGUGGCGCUGCCUAUCUGACUAGCGCUACCGCUACUUAGUAGUAGUGUAGGUUCAAAUCAUGCGCUACAAGUAAGGCGUAGUAGUAGCAUGGGAACAAUGGCCCUGCGCUAGUGCUAAGUGGACACCAUCGUGCCACCUCCCCCCUACGGAUAUGUAGUAGUGGCAUAUAGUCUCUAAGUGUGACUUUGGUAAGUAAUGACAAUCUAUAUGAUCUAUUGCUUCCAGUGAGAUAUAUUUGAAGGUAUAGUACAUAGGUGGUGCCUUAAGGAUGAUUGCCUUAAAGAUGAAGAUUUGCUCUUAAGCUUUGGUAUUGAAUGACAAUUCCUAUGGAGCAUCAAUGGAAUUGUAUAUUAUAUGAACAAAUGUUCCAUAGUGAUGCAUGAAGCAUGUUCGAUUUCUGUGUGAAGAGUUCCAUUAGAAGCCUCUCAAAGAAGUCCUCGUGGUAUCCUCUCUGCUUACCCGAUGCACACGGGGUCGAGGGGUCGUGCCUACGGGGUCUAGUUAAAUAUCUCUAGACACCUCAUGAGCACGGGAUUCUUGACCCAUGUGCACACGAGGUCGAGCGUUAAACUCUCUGGAUACCCCGUGCGCACGGUUUAUCUGACCUCGUGCCGACGGGGCCUAUGGUUUAACUCUCGUGGUAUCUUGCCUAGUGAGGAUAGUAGUUGGUCUUUGGAUGUUUCUAAUGAAUCCAUCAAGUUUGAUUUCAAUGUCUAAAUAAAUAUGUUCAAGGUGGAGUUGAUUGGAGGAACUCAAAGGUUGACACAUUUGGGCUUAUAGGGAUUAAGUUCUUGAGAGUAUAACUAAAGAGAAGAAUUCAAGCUAUGGUAUCAAGAGAAGAUCAUGAUGAGCUCAUGUAUUGGGUUUUAGUUGAUCAUGUCUUGAAGUAAGCAACUAGAGUGAAGAAUUUAUUGUGCUUCUCAAGAGUUUGUGAUGGGGCAUUUAGAAGAGGAAUCGAUGACCAAUAUGAUGUUCAUGGUGAAAUUUGAUAUGGUCAUGAAAGAGUCUUUGGUGAUCUAGUCUUGAAGAAAUGAAAUAAAAUGAAGAGGUCAUUAUGGCUUCUAAGAAACCAAUAUAGAGCUUGAAGUAAAGAUGUCGGUUGACCAAGAUGAAGCUCAAAGAUUGUAUCUAGCUAGAUAGUCAACACACAAGGGCAAACAAUGUACCACGUGGGAUGAAGUGAUCUAGUUGUAUGGUAAGUAACUGUGAAUUGUGUUUUAUGCACUAACCCCUGCUAUGUGUUUGCUAUGCCUAUGUGGGUUAGGUGUUUCUCAUGGGCUUGUAUCCACAUAAAGAUUUCGAGUGGCCUAUGUGAGGAUGACAUCAAGUGGUGAUGGUUAUCGAGUUUGGGGAGUCUAAGUGCAAGAUGAGAAGCCGGAGGUUAUAUGCUUUGAAGCUUGCGGUCCACACCGUGGUUAUGUACAUGUGAAGAUGUGCUUAAGAGAAAGCUUCUCAUUUUGCAAUAUGAGAAGCAAUUCAAAUAUCUUCACCAAGUGAUUGUGGUUAAGAAAAGGAUUCCAACUUGAGGCAACCAUUAACGUCAUCAACAAGCUCAAGUGGAAUGUGUGAGGCAAAGGUAUACCUUAGCUAGGUUUUCCACCCAAGCAUGGAUAUGAUUGCUCAUGAUGUGGCAGCUCUUAAAAAUAAAAACUACAUACAGUUGACGAUAUGGCUAGAAAUAUGGAUAGGAUUGCUCAUGAUGUGGAAACUCUUAAAAAUAAAUAAAAAAUCCACCCUAGCAUGAUAUUAAUGAGUCCAUUAAAUGUAUCAAAGUCUAUAUUAAUGAAAGCAAUGAGAGAAAUGCUAGGUUGAUAGCUAAACGAGAAUUCGUAGUAAAAGCUCUUCCAUCCGGUUUUUAACGUAAUCAUGAUGAAGAUAUUAAAAUUAUUGGUGUUUAUCCUAUUGAAUCUUUAUUUACUAAUCUUUAAAUUCAUGAUAAAGGGACUGGAGAUGAGUCAAAUUUAGCUAGAAGGUGUCCCAUUUGUUUGGAGAGUGAUGAUCUUGAUGAUAAAAAUGGAAAAGGUUGGUUUGGACAGGUCAAAACUUUAACUAGUGAUGUGCCCACUAUUUUGGAUUACAAGGACUUUAAUUAUGAGAGUUGUUCUUUAGUAGAAUGUAUUUCCUUGUUGCGAUCAAUAAUAAUCUCACCCAAUGCUUAUGAACAAAAUAAAGGUUUUACCAAACAUAUCAUAGAAACGAUGAUAAAAGCUCAUGAGGUGAAACAUUAACUAGAAGUUCCUAUACUUAGAAAAUUGCAUGAUGAAUGUGAACCUACUAUUAAAAUUAAGCUUAAAUAAUAUGAAUGUAAUUCUUUGCGUGACCUUGGUGCUAGUGUUUCAACUAUACGUAAAGAUUGUUCCCUUAAUUUGCAUCUUGCGAAUUCUACCAUUAAGAUAUUGAUGUCCCACAAGCGUAUGGGAUCGCAACAGUUUUCGAGGGUAGAGUAUUCAACCCAAAUUUGUUGGUUCGCACGAGGGGAAGCGAAAGAAUAUUAUCAAGUAUUAGCAGAUGAACGUGUCAGAUUCAACCACACCUGAAAGAUUAGUGUCUGCAAGCAAAGUAUCAGUAGCAAGGUAGUAUGAUAACAACGGUGCCAGAAAUGAUCUGUUGACAAGGCAGACUAUUCCUAACUGUUGUAUCAAUGGCGCCAGUAAAAGCCUUGCUGACAGGAUGUAAGUGCCGCUUACCUAGACCGGCAAUGGUGCCAACAAAGUCUUGCAGCAAGUAACAGCGGAGUAGUAAGGAACAGCAGUAGCAGCAGCAGCAAAGUAACAAGUAACAACAGUAGUGACAGCAACAGCAAAGUGGCCCAAUCCCUUUUGUAGCAAGGGACAAGCCUAGGCAAAGUAACGUAGCGAGGACCAGUAGUAAAAGACUCGUAGGCAGUGGAUCCGUGAUGGGUGAGUGUGACAGAUGUGAGUCAUCAUGUAACAGCUAUAACACGGAGAGAUAUGUAACUAGUUCCCGUUCAUCAAUCUAAUGUAGGCAUGUAUUCCGUAUGUAGUCAUACGUGCUUAGGGAAAAGAACUUGCAUGACAUCUAUUGUCCAUCCCUCCCAUGGCAGCGGGGUCCUAAUGGAAACUACGGGAUAUUAAGGUUCUCCUUUUAAUAAAGAAUCGAACCAAUGCAUUAACACGCGGUGAAUACAUGAACUCCUCAUGCUAUGGUCAUCUCCGGGAGUGGUUCCGGCUAUUGUCACUCCGGGGUUGCCGGGUCAUAACACAUAGUAGGUGACUACAACUUGCAAGAUAGGAUCUAAAACACACAUAUAUUGGCGACAACAUAAUAGGUUCAGAUCUGAAAUCAUGACACUCGGGCCCUAGUGACAAGCAUUACGCAUAACCAAGUAGUAGCAACAUCAAUCUAGAACAUAGUGGAUACUAGGGAUCAAUACCCGUCAAGAACUAACUCGAUUACAUGAUAUAUCUCAUCCAACUCAUCACCGUCCAGCAAGCCUACAUGAGAUUACUCACGAACGAUGAAGAGCAUCAUGGAAUUUUCGAUGGAGAAAGGUUGAUGAUGACGAUGGCGACGAUUUCCCCUCUCCGGAGCCCGAAACGGACUCCAGAUCUGCCCUCCAGAUGAAGAACAGGAUAUGGCGGCGCCUCCGUAUCGCAAAAUGUGAUGAAACCUUCUCUGUGAUUUUUUCCAGGCGAAACAGAAGAUAUAGAGUUGAGAUUGGGGGUGGUGGUGCCACGUGGGCCCCACAAGCCUGCACGGCGCGACCUAGGGGGUGGCCGUGGCCUGUGGGCUUGUGGCCCACUGGCACGCCCCCUCCGGUGGAUCUUUGUGCAGAUAUUUUUCUUUUAUUCCAGAAAAAAUCUCCGUAAAUUUUUAGGACAUUUCGAGAACUUUUAUUUCUGCACAAAAACAACACCAUGGCAAUUCUGCUGAAAACAACGUCAGUCCGGGUUAGUUCCAUUCAAAUCAUGCAAAUUAGAGUCCAAAACAAGGGCAAAAGAGUUCGGAAAAGUAGAUACGACGGAGACGUAUCAACUCCCCAAGCUUAAAGCCUUGCUUGUCCUCAAGCAACUCAGUUGACAAACUGAGAGAGACAAAAAGAAAAACUUUGACGAACUCUGUUUGAUCUUGUUGUUGCAACUAUGUCUAACUCAUAACCAGAAUUUCAGCAACAUCACAAGCAAACCACAUAAGCAAAUGACAUCUAGGUCUCACGGUAAACUCAUAUCAAUGGCAUAAUCAACUAGCGAGCAAAUAAUAGUAAGUCUCAAAUGUCAACACUUCAAUCAAAACAACAUGAAGCAGUACGAAUAGAUGGUAUCUCGCUAACUCUUUCUGAGACCGCAAAACAUAAAUGCAGAGCACCUUAAAAGACCAAGGGCUGACUAAACAUUGUAAUUCAUGGCAAUGAAGAUCCAGUCAUAGUCAUACUCAACACAGUUAAAAGCAAAGCAUAAAAAUGACAGAGGUGCUCUCUAAUUGGUGCUUUUGUAAGAGGAGGAUGACUCAACAGGAACAUAAAUAAACAGGCCCUUCGCAGAGGGAAGCAUUGAUUUGCAGAGGUGCCAGAGCUCAAGCUUUGAAAACAGAGAUAAUAAUUUUGGGUGGCAUGAUUUCAUUGUCAACGCAAUGACUAAGAGUUCUCAACAUCUUCCACGCUAAACAUGCUAUAUGCAGUUCCCAAACAGAAAAGUAAAGUUGUGACUCCCCCACCACCAAUCAAUCACACUCCAUGGCUAGCCGAAUCCUCGGGUACCGUCCAUACCAACAUCAAUCCUGGGGGAGUUUUGUUUGCAAUUAUCUUUUCGAUUUGAGCAUGGAACUGGGAAUUCCAAUUACCGACCCCUUUCUCGUGAAUGAUAGUGAAUAAACACAUAUCGAGGAUAACAUGCCUAGCAUGGAAGAUACCAAUAGCCCCCUAUCACCACAUGAGCGGUUCGGGCAUGCAAAACAGAUUAUUUCUUGAAGAUUUAGAGAGUGGCACAUGCAAAUUUACUUGGAACGGCAGGUAGAUACCGCACAUAGGUAGGUAUGGUGGACUCAUAUGGAACAACUUUGGGUUUAUGGAGGUGGAUGCACAAGCAGUAUUCCCGCUUAGUACAAGUGAAGGCUAGCAAAAGACUGGGAAGCGACCAACUAGAGAGCGACAACAGUCAUCAAAAUGCAUUGAGAGUAACUAACAUUGAGUGCAAGCAUGAGUAGGACAUAAAUCACCAUGAACAUGAACAUCAUAGAGGCUAUGUUGAUUUUGUUUCAACUACAUGCGUGAACAUGCGCCAAGUCAAGCCACUUGAAACAUUCAAAGGAGGAUACCAUCCUAUCAUACUACAUCAUAGUCAUCUCAACAUUCAUGUUGGCAACCAAGGCAAACCAUUAUAAGCUCCUAGCUAAGUAAGCAUGGCAUAAGCAACUAUGAUCUCUAAGUUGUCAUUGCAAACAUGUUUCUCUCACAACAAAGCUGAACUAGGAACAGUGAGCUAGUCAUAUUUACAAAAACAAAAUAGAUCGAGUUCAUACCAGCUUUUCCAGGCUCAGUCACUUCAUCAUAUAUCGUCAUUAUUGCCUUUCACUUGCACAAACGAACAAUGUGAACAAUAAUAAGAGUGCUCGUGCAUUGGACUAAAGCUGGAAUCUGCAGGCAAACACAAAGGAGAAGACAAAGUAAUAUGGCUCUUGAUAGCUAAACAUGUAUGCGUGCAAGAGCCACUAAACAUUGUAACCAAUAUCUUCUACCUUGACCCAAAGAAAAAGAAAACUAUCUACACAGGAAAGCUCCCAACAAGCAAAAGAAGAAAAAGAAAAUCUUUUUGGGUUUUUCUCAAACUAGACAGACACACGAAAAGAAAACGAGAAAAAGAAAAUAAACUAGCAUGGAUGAUACAGUGGCAAAGUGUGAACACCGACGAACAAAGUGAAAGCAUAAGCAAGAAUGUAAAGUCGGUGAGAACACGUACUCCCCCAAGCUUAGCCUUUUGGCCUAAGUUGGUCUACUCCCAAGGAGGGAAAUAACCAGCUCCGGGGUACUCCGGAGUGGACUGAGGAUGCCACUGCUGUGUGAGCUCCUCUAGCUCCCACUAAUAAACCUGCGUCUGGUACUCGACUGGUGGCUCGGGCACGGGAACCUGUGGUUGGGCUAAGCCCCAAUAUGCGUAGAUGCCCGAGGGCAUAAUAAUGUACCUGCCUGCAUGAAGAUUGAACAAAAAAGGAGCAGGCAAAGUAAUAGUCUCACGAGUACCCUCACUGAAUACCAGGUUAUAAAUCAUCCUUCUGUUUACAUCUCUAUCAAGAAAGUCAUGGCGAACCAUGCUAUCAUAAUCUAGAUAUUUCUCGGGAAGAAGAAUCUCUUCUUCCUCGUCUAGUCAAAUAGGUAUCUCAAAGUGUCUAGCAAGACGAGUAGCAUAGAUACCUCCAUAGACAAUGGCUUUAGAACAGUUCAGGUUCAACCAUUGAGCUACUAUAGCGCCUAAGUUAUAAGUUUUAUCGUUAUAAAGGGCUUCGCGCAAGACCGCAAUAUCUGGGGAACUAAGUGACCCAACUUUCCCAUGACCAAUCAAACAUUUUCCCACAAAUAAUGAGAAGUACCGAAGCACGGGAAAAUGAAUGCUAGCAGCUCUAGCGCAAGACACUCCUCUCUCCUCUCCUACGGCAAUAGUAUCGAUGAAAGCUUCCAAGUCCCGUGGACGAGGUUCAUGAAUAUCCCCAACAAAAGGUAAUUUGUAAACAUUGCAAAAAUCAUGGAGUGACAUGCGCUGGGGGAUAUCAUAAAGUUUGAACUCAACCAUAGGAGGAUUCUUCCUCGGAUAGAAGUUAAAGCUUUGUACGAAGAUAUUAGUGAGGAGGAGGUAUUACAGACACUUAUCUUCAAUGAAGGCGGUAAGGCCUGCGUUAUCAACCAAGUGAUAAAAGUCCUCAUAAAUUACAGCGGCGCGUAAGAACACGUCGCUUGGCCACUCGCACGCUCGAACUUCUGCGACUCGAGGGACCAGAUACUUGGGCUUCUUCUCACUCCCAUCAUCCUUGGGGUCACGGCUUGAAGAGCCUCUUAAGAACCUCCUCAUCUUUUCCUUUUUCUAUCUCUGAAAAUUUCUGAAAUUUUUAGUGACCCUAAGGAAAAGUGAACAAGGCUCAACUAAACUAGUAGCAACUACUCCCACAAGUGCCUAGAGACCAUAUUAUGCAUCAAAACUACUUGGGACCAGCUAGAAUUAGCAUGCAAAGCUCAAGAACAUGGUCACCAAGGCAGGAAAAAUACGCGGAGUAUAAGGCACUAGAGCAAAAACUAAUUGGACCAAUGGAGGAGUCACUUACCAAGGAGUAAUUUCCCCCAAACAGUUCGGAGAACGGUGAUUUGAGCAAAGAGAUCGAAAAUCCCAGCAAGAGGAGCAAGAACACGGGUUUGAGCUACGAAACGAUUUUUCUGGAGGUAGGAUAACCAGAUGAGAGCAAGAAUGAGUGGAGGGGGUGCCUGUGUGCCCCACAAGCCUGAGUGGCACGGCCAGGGGGUGCCCGCACCGUCAGGGCUUGUGGCCCACUGCUACAGCCCCCAGACAAGCUCUUUGUCUCAGAAUUUUUCAAAAAUUCCAGAAAAAAUCAUACUUGAUUUUCGGGACGUUCGGAGAACUUUUAUUUUUGGAGUACUUUUCUACCGGACACUAAAACAGAAAAUAGGGAAAACUAAACUAAAUCUAUCAUUUUUCUUCUAAGCAACCUAAAGUGAAAGCUUGGAACACAGGUUUGUGACUCCUUGAUUUAUCCAUCUCAUGGUCAUCGAAAGAAAAUCCGCCAAUGAGGUUGAUCAAGUCUCCUCGACAAACCUUUUCGAAUCGCAAAAGAAGACGGAGAAUUUUUGAAUAGUCACUAGGCCACCUCAAUGGGGAUGUGUAUCUCGCCAACAAGCAAAUCAUACUUCAUCUUGACACGAGGAAUAGGGCAUUCAAAGCUCCCAAUAAGAAUCGAUGAAGUUUUUUCGAUAACAUUGAUGCAAUGUACUCGAUAUUGUUUCUUCGGAAAGUGCACCGUAUGCCCAUUACCGUUGACAUGGGAAGUGACAUUUCCUUUGUUGCAAUCUAUAACAGCCCCUGCAGUGUUUAAAAAGGGUCUUCCGAGGAUGACAGCCAUGGCAUCGUCCUCGGGAAUAUCCAAGAUAACAAAGUCUGUUAAGAUAGUGGUGUUAGCAACCACAACAGGCACAUCCUCGCAAAUGCCGAUAGGGAAAGCAGUUGAUUUGUCGGCCAUUUGCAGAGAGAUUUAAGUGGGUGUCAACUUAUCCAAUUGAAGUCUAUGAUAAAGAGAGAGAGGCAUAACACUGGCUCCAAGGUCGCAUAACGCAGUUCUAACGUAGUUGCCUUUAAUGGAGCAAGGUAUAGUGGGCACACCGGGAUCACCUAGUUUCUUAGGAGUUCCACCCUUGAAAGUGUAAUUGGCAAGCAUGGCGGAGAUCUCAAGAUCAGGUAUCCUCCUCUUAUUAGGCACAAUAUCUUUAAUGUACUUAGCAUACGGAGAUAUCUUGAGCAUAUCCGUCAAACGCAUCUGCAGAAAGACAUGUCUGAUCAUUUCAACGAAGCGCUCAAAAUCCUCAUCAUCCUUUUUCUUGGAUGGUUUGGGAGGAAAGGGCAUAGGUUUCUGAACCCAUGGUUCCCUUUCUUUACCAUGCUUCCUAGCAGUGAAGUCAUUCUUAUCGUAUCUCUUAGUCUUAGGCUGUGGGUUAUCAAGAUUAGGUUCAAUCCCCACAUCCUUUUCGUUGCUAGGUUGAGCAUCUUCAUGAACAUCACUAUUGAUAUUAUCAUUAGGCUUAUGUUCAUCACCAGAUUGUGUUUCAACAUCAGAGACAGAGACAUCGUUUGGACUCUCAGGUGUAGCAGCAACAGGGUUGCUAGCGUGCACGUUCCUAUCAUCUUUCUUCUUCUUUCUAGGAUGACUAGGUGCAUCAGUGCUAACUUCUCGAGAAUCUUGUUCAAUUCUCUUCGGAUGACAGGAUACAGAGGUUCCUGGGUCAUUCUACCGCCUCUAGUGACGACUCUGACAGAAUUGUCAUUCAACUCAUUGAGCAAGUCAUUUUGAGCUUUAAGUACUUGUUCUACCUGAGUAGUAACCAUAGAGGCAUGUUUACUUAGAAGCUUAAGAUCAUUGACGUUUCUGUCUACACAAGCACUUAAAUGACUAAGCAUACGAGCAUUCUGUUCCAAUUGUCUGCUAACAUAAUCAUUGAAACUCUGUUGUUUGGCAACAAAGUUAUCAAAUUCAUCCAUGCAUAGGCUAGCAGGUUUAUCAAAAGGAAUAUCACUCUCAUCAAACCUACGCAGAGAAUUUACUUCUACUACCUGUAUCGGGUUAUCGAGACCAUGGAUCUCUUUGAUAGGUGGUAGAUUUUUGACAUCUUCAGAUUUAAUGCCUUUCUCUCGCAUAGAUUUCUUGGUUUCUUGCAUAUCUUCAGGACUGAGGAAUAUAAUACCUCUUUUCUUCAGAGUUGGCUUAGGAGGUGGUUCGGGAAUAGUCCAAGCAUUCUCAUUGCACAAGAUAUUAUUCAAUAUGAUCUCAGCUUGUUCUAUAGUUUGUUCCCUAAAAACACAACUGGCACAACUAUCUAGGUGGUCUUUAGAAGCACCAGUAAGUCCAUUAUAGAAGAUAUCAAGUAUUUCAUUCUUCUCAAGAGGGUGAUCAGGCAAAGCAUUCAGUAGCUGGAUGAGCCUCCCCCAAGCUUGUGGGAGACUCUCUUCUUCAGCUUGAGCAUAGUUGUAUAUUUCCUGCAAGGCAACUUGCUUCUUAUGGGCAGGCAAAUAUUUUUCAGAGAAGUAGUAGACCAUAUCCUGGGGGCUACGCACACAACCAGGAGCAAGAGAAGUGAACCAGGUCUUAGCAUCAUCCUUUAGCGAGAAAGGAAACAGCUUGAGCAUAUAGUAGUGGCGGAUCUUUUCCUCACUAGUGAAUAGGGUGGCUAUAUCGUGCAGCUUGGUAAGAUGGGCUACAACCGUUUCAGACUCAUAACCGUGAAAAGGAUCAGAUUCGACCAGAGUGAUUAACUCAGGGUCGACAGAGAAUUCAUAAUCCUUAUCGGUCACAAAGAUAGGCGAAGUGGCAAACUUCGGGUCGUAUUUCAUCCUAGCGUUCAGAGAUUUUUCUUUCCACUUGUGCAAUAGUUUCUCAACAUCAUAGCUAUCCUUACACGCAAGAAAGUCCUCAACUAUCUCUCCCUCCAUAACAUAGUGUGUAUCAGACAUAACAGGCAUAGUAGCAGGUUCUACUUCAAUAGUAUCAUCAGUUUCAGAAGUAUCAUCACAUCUAGCAGCAACUCUAGCAAUAUGUGCAUCAAGGGCACCUAGUGGCAAAGCAGUAUCAGGCAUAGCAUCAUCAGGCAUAGUAUCAAGCAUAGCAUCAUCAGGCAUAGUAUCAAGCAUAGCAUCAUCAGGCAUAGUAUCAAGCAUAACAUCAUCAUAAGCAUCAUGGGCAGCAGAAGUAGCAUCAUCAAGCACAUGCGACAUAUCAAGAUUUCUAGCAAGAGGCGAUAUCGCAAACUUACUCAUAACGGAAGGUGAAUCAAGUGCAGAGCUAGAUGGCAGUUCCUUACCUGUCCUCGUAGUGGAAGGCAAGACUUUAGUUCUUGGAUCUAUCAGAUUCCUCGUAGUGACCAGGAGACGUCAAUCCCAAGUGACUCAGAGAAUAUAGUUGUGCCUCCCCGACAACAGCGCCAGAAAAAGGUCUUGAUAACCCACAAGUGUAGGGGAUCGCAACAGUUUUCGAGGGUAGAGUAUUCAACCCAAAUUUGUUGGUUCGCCAAAGGGGAAGCGAAAGAAUAUUCUCAAGUAUUAGCAGCUGAGUUUGUUAGAUUCAACCACACCUGAAAGAUUAGUGUCUGCAAGCAAAGUAUCAGUAGCAAAGUAGUAUGAUAGCAACGGUGUCAUAAACUAUGUGUUGACGGCAGACGAUUCCUAACUCUUGUAUCAAUGGCGCCAGUAGGUUGCACGUGAGCGAGUAACUAUUCUUCCCCGACAACAGUGUCGAAAAAGGAUGUUGCAACAAGUAACAACGAAGUAGCAAGGAACAGCAGUAGCAGCAACAGCAGCAGCAGCAGAGUAACAGCAGUAGCAACAGUAGUAGCAAAGUGACAGGAGUAGCAGCAAAGUGGCCCAAUCCCUUUCGUAGCAAGGGACAAGCGAGGACAAAGUAACAUAGCAAGGACCAAUAGUAAAAGACUCGUAGGAAGUGGAUCGGUGAUGGAUGAGUAUGACAGAUGUGAUUCAUCAUGUAACACCUAUAACACGGAGAGAUAAGUAACUAACUCCCGUUCGUCAAUCUAAUGUAGGCAUGUAUUCCGUAUGUAGUCAUACGUGCUUAGGGAAAAGAACUUGCAUGCCAUCUAUUGUCCAUCCCUCCCGUGGCAGCGGGGUCCUAAUGGAAACUACGAGAUAUUAAGGUUCUCCUUUUAAUAAAGAACUGGACCAACACAUUAACACUUGGUGAAUACAUGAACUCCUCAUACUAUGGUCAUCUCCGGGAGUGGUUUCGGCUAUUGUCACUCCGGGGUUGCCGGGUCAUAACACAUAGUAGGUAACUACAACUUGCAAGAUAGGAUCUAAAACACACAUAUAUUGGCGACAACAUAAGAGGUUCAGAUCUAAAAUCAUGGCACUCGGGCCCUAGUGACAAGCAUUAAGCAUAGCCAAGUAGUAGCAACAUCAAUCUAGAACAUAGUGGAUACUAGGGAUCAAUCCCCGUCAAAACUAACUCGAUUACAUGAUAGAUCUCAUCCAACUCAUCACCGUCCAGCAAGCCUACGAUGAGAUUACUCACGAACGAUGAAGAGCAUCAUGGAAUUGUCGAUGGAGGAAGGUUGAUGAUGACGAUGGCGACGAUUUACCCUUUCCGGAGCCCCGAACGGACUCCAGAUCUGCCCUCCAGAUGAACAACAGGAGGUGGCGGCGCCUCCGUAUCAUAAAACGUGAUGAAACCUUCUCUCUGAUUUUUUUCCGGGCGAGACGGAAGAUAUGGAGCCGAGUUUGGGGGCGGUGGUGCCACGUGGGCCCCACAAGCCCUCACGGCGCAGUGUAGGGGGGUGGCCGCGGGCCAGGGGCUUGUGGCCCACUGGCACGCCCCCUCCGGUGGAUCUUUGCGUAGGUAUUUUUCUUUUAUUCCAGAAAAAAUCUUCGUAAAUUUUCAGGACAUUCCGAGAACUUUUAUUUCUGCACAAAAACAACACCAUGGCAAUUCUGCUGAAAACAACGUCAGUCCGGGUUAGUUCCAUUCAAAUCAUGCAAAUUAGAGUCCAAAACAAGGGCAAAAGAGUUCGGAAUAGUAGAUACGACGGAGACGUAUCAGUGCCAAGUAAAGCCUUUGGGAUACUGUGGAUACAUGCUAGUUUGAUUCUGUGCAAGAACAUGAACUUUUACGUCUAGUGCAGGAUUUCUAUGAUUUUACCCGAGCGUUAAAAAAAUAUGAAAUAUUGACACAGUUUUGGUAUACAAAUUCUCUUUGUUUUUCUAAUGUUUCAGAAUUUUUAGAGUCACGGAAGUAUGUUGUUCACUCAGAUCUUCGAAGAUUGUUCUGUUUUCGAUAGAAUCUGUUUUGCAUGCAUAGUUUGCUUGUUUUAAGUGUUUCUAUAGUUUAUAUUGAGUGAUAUAAAUUAUGGAAAUGAUAGAAUACAAUAGUUAUCAUUUGAGAACAAUUAUGAAUCUUGUCAUGGCAGUACCUAAGUGAAUUAUCUAUCUUUAUUACACUAACCCAUUUCAUGAAGUUUCGUAAGUUUUGUGUGAUUGAACUUUUAAAGUUUUGGGUGAGAUACUGAUAUGAGGUGAAUAAGGAGCAGCAAGAAUCUAAGAUUGCAUAUGCCCAAGACACCCCCAAGGUACUAACCCAAGGAAGACUCAAGCAUCUAAGCUUGUGGAUGCCCGAGAAGGAAUCCCCUCUUUCCUCUCCAUCAUUAUCGAUAUAUCUUACUUGGAGCUAUAUUUUUAUUCUUCACAUGAUAUGUGUUUUGCUUGGAGCAUCGUUUUUUUUCUCUAUCACAUGUUAUUUAUAAUAUUCUUUUUCAAUAAAAAGUUCCAAGAAUUGCCUUUAGAAUGCUUGAAUUGCAUGUGUGAUGUGUGUUGUACAAAACAGAAACUUUUGCUGUAUUAUUUGAAUUAUCAGAUUUUAUUCGAACCUGGAAAGUUUUUAAAAUUCUUACACAGUAUUGUAAUGCAAAUUUUUUACCACUUCCUAAUUUUUCAGAAAUUUUGAAGUUACACAUGUACACUGUUUUAAUAGAUUGCUAUAGAUUGUUCUGUUUGGACAAAUUACUGUCAUAGUUUUGUUAUCUACUUAUCCUAGAGUUUUCAUGGCUUAUAUUAAUAGAAAUAAAUUUGGUAAAUGAUGGUAUAUAGUAACUAUUGUUUGAAAAUUAUUAUGCAAUUUGUCUUGGCAGUACAUGAAGUGUUGAUUUAUUCUUAUGUGUACUAACCUAUCUCACGAGUUCUUUUCAAGUUUUGUGUGGAUGAAGUUUUUGAGACUUAGGUGAAAUCGGGAUAUAAGAGGAUUGAAUAAGAUACAAAAGCUCAAGCUUGGGGAUUCCCAAGGCACCACAAGUAAAUAUUUCAAGAAGUCUCAAGCAUCUAAGCUUGGGGAUGCUACGCAUCCCACCUCUCUUCGUCAACAUAUAUCGGUUAGCCUAUGUUGAGCCUAAAUUUUUAUUUGUCCACAUGAUAUGUGCUAUUAUUGGAAGUUCAUUUUUGUUUUGUUUUCUGUUUGAAAUAAAAUAUUAGAUCUGGAAAUCUUUAUUGAGAGAGAGAGAGAGUCCUCACAUAGCUACUUGAAUGUUUGACUACUCAUUGAUCUUCACUUAUAUCUUUUGAGAGUAGUAUGAUGUUUACUCUUGUGCUUCACUUAUAACCUAAGAGUAAAUUGUGAAUGAAUGAAAUAUCAUAAAUCUGAAAUUACCAAUGUGCUUUAUGCCUUGUAGUAGUUUCACAUUUGGUUUAGAAAGUAAAAUCUAUUGAAGUUUGACAAUCGCUCUAUUGGUUAUAUGAGCAAUUCAUGAAUGAUUAGUAUAAGAAAGAGAACUUUCACAUACAAAUAUAUUACCCGGGACAUCUUUUAUGAUUGUGAGUACCCAUCAAUUAUUUCCAACCUUGAUCAAAUAAUUGAAGUUGGACAAGGAAGACAACGUAAUGGUUAUGAUUGGGUAUAUUUGCAUAGAAGUUUUAUUGUUAUGGAUCCUCCAACAUGUGGUGCUUGUUUAGAACCUUUUGCUAGCCAAAACUUCGUACUAAGUAGAAAUAUUACUUGUGCAUCCAAAUCCUUGAAGCAAGUUUCUUCCAUGAGAGUCCACCAUACCUACCUAUAUAUGGUAUUUCACUGCCAUUCCAAGUAAAUUUGCAUGUGCCAAUUCUAAACAUUCAAAUAAACAUUCGUUUUGUGUGCCCGUACCGCUCAUGGAGCGACGGGGUGGUCAUUAUCUUCCAUGCUAAGCGAGUUAUUCUCGAGAUGAGUGUUUAUUCACUUGUCGUUGCACGAGAGAGGCUGGUAAAAAGGAUGCCCACUCUUGCAUAAUACAAAAAUAAAUGAACAAGAACCCCCCCUAGAAAGUUGGUUGUUUGGAGGGCACCCAUGGAUAUGGCUAGCCAUGGAAUAUGUUUGAAUGGUUGAGGGAGAGUAAAAUUUCAAUUCUAUUUGGGAACCACCAAUAAUGUAAACAAUAUGGAUGAUAUUGAAAAUUAUGUUGCGACGUUGACAAGAAAUGCACACCACCCGAAGUUACAUAUUCAUCUCUGUUUUAAAACAAUGAGCUCUCGCACCUGUGCAAAUCCCUGCUUCCCUCUGCGAAGGGACAAUCUAUGUACUUCCAUGUUAUUUAUUUUCAUGUCGGGUCAACACCCUAUUGCAACCUCAAUCUAUUAGUUGGCAAGCACCAUGUGAUGGGGAAAGAUCCAAACAUAUGUAUCCACUCAAAUAUAUUUGAUCAUGAUUCAUUAUUGUUGACAAUUAUCUUUAUGAUAAAUUUGUUGGGAGGCAAAACAUUAAGCCCCUAUCUUUAUUUGCGUUAGAUGGAUGUUAUUUGUUCUAAAAAUAUGCUUUGGGUAUUAACAAUCAUAGAAGACUAUAUGAUAAUUGAGUAUGUGGAGCUCUUACUUAGACUUGAUGAUGCAUUGAAAUUGUUUGAUGACUAAGAACAUAUGAUGUUGAGUUUCAAGAGAAUGCAUUGUUUGAACCAUGACAUGUGAAUUAACUGCUACUCAACCAUGAUGAUUUUUAUGAAAAACUUGGUGGUUAUGAUGCUAGAAAAAGUGAUUGGAGUUAUCAUUGAUCAAACUUAUAUACCAUGCUAGCAUUCAUACUUCAUAAAUUAUUUUUGUUGAUCAUUUACCUACUCGAGGACGAGUAGGAAUUAAGCUUGGGGAUACCGAUACAUCUCCAACGUAUCGAUAAUUUAUGAAGUAUUCAUGCCAUAUUCACCUAUGUUUACAAUACUUUUAUAUGUUUUUGAUGCACUUUAUAUGAUUUAUUUAGAACUAACCUGGACUGACGCUGUUUUCAGCAUAAUUAACAUGGUGUUGUUUUUGUGGAGAAAAUGAAAGUUCUCGGAACCUCCAAAUUUUUUUAUAAUUUUUCUGGGGGAAAUAAGCAAUAUUGGAGUGAAGAAUCACCGAGCCACCUUGGGCCACAAGCCAACAUGGCGCGCCCCUAGGUCGCACCGUGAUGGCUUGUGAGGCCCAUGUGGCUCCGUUUGGCGUGAUUCCAAUGCUGAAAAAUCCUAUAUAUACCAGAAACCCCAGAAAUAAAGAGAGAACUUCCGCUCUNNNNNNNNNNNNNNNNNNNNNNNNNNNNNNNCUCUUCCGCCGAAACUCUCUGUAUCGAUGAAAACCCAAUUUGGAAAUGUUCUAGUACCCUGUCGGAGAGGGGAAAUCAUCUCCGAUGGCCAUCUUCAUCAUCCCGGCGGAGGCCAUGACGGGGAGGGAGUAGUUCACCCUCGGGGCUGAGGUUUUGUACCAGUAGCUAUGUGUUUAAUCUCUCUCUCUCUUUGUCGUGUUCUUGAGAUGUCACGGUCUUGAUGUAUCAUGGGCUUUAUUAAUAUAGUUGGAUCAUAUGGUGUUUGUCCCCUUGCUAUUGUUAUGAUGAAUUGAAUCUUUCACUUUAGGAUCUCGUUAUGUUGGAUUGACUUUUCAGGUUGAGAACAUUUGAUGUAUGUCUUGCAUGCGGAUACUCGUAGUGACAUUGGGGUAUUCAAGUGAUUCACUUGAUAUAUGUUAUGACAUCAAAUUGCGGAUUCCAGUGACCUUGGGGAUCUAUGCAUAGGGGUUGAUUGCACGUUUUCAUACUAUGUUCUCUUAUACAAAUCUUGGGGUGCUCCUUGAAGUUCUUUGUGUUGGAUUGAUAUUAUAGAUCUAAAAUUGUUUGAUGUGUGUCGCAUAAUUUACCCAUGGAUACUUGAGAUGACAUUGGAGUAUCUAGAUGGCAUUAGGGUUGAUUGAUAUGUAUCAUGGGUGUUAUUCUAGUACGAACUCUAGCGUUGUUUGUGACACUUAUAAGAAGAGCUCAAAAGAUUGACCAGAAAGUAUAACUUUGAGGUGGUUCUACUACCUAUACCAAUUUCAUCUUAUUGUUCUCCUAUCGGGGGGAUAACCCCGGGGUAGGCUCAUCAAGCUUGCUCCUUCAUUUCCGACCCAAAGGACAUGAACAUAUACAGAUCCCCAAGGCCCCAAGUCUUCCGGCCGGCUAGGCAGCGCCUACCGGCUAGAGGACGAAGCGGCCAUCCCUCUGGCCGGCCAGGCAACCCCUACCAGCUAGAGUCGAGGCGGCUACCUCUUCUGAGCCGGCCUGGUCCAGACAACCCGACUAGGAGUGAGGCGGCCGCACCCAAGCCGGCUAGCCAAGCAGGCUAGCCGGCCGAAGAUCACAAGUCACAUCAGGUCGUAGGUCAGGAUGAGACCUUACGAUUAAAGGUAGCUACGCGUCAGCAAAGGUACUGGAUCGGGGCGUCCGGCAGGUACGAGCGUCGGCGGCCAUGCCGCUGACCUACCUCGGCUCUGAUCCAUCACCUAGCAUAGUAUCGGACCGUCGCACUCCCACUCCAUUACUGCACUCGGUGUGGGAACAGUGGAGGCGGCCGUACCUCCUGCCCAUGACGAAUCUCGAUGGACGACGCUUGACAUACAACGCGUGCUCGGCGUCAACCUUACGCGAGAGCUUCAUUGGCCAGUCGGCGGGUCCCACUGCCAAUCGAGACCAUGCAGCCGGCGGGCCCCUCAAGCGACAAGACAAGACUCUAGUGGGCCCCUGGCCAGCCGGUGAGGCUGCCAGCCGGGUCCCACACUUGUACCCUUUAUCCAUAUUGUAGGCCGGCGGGUUCGUCUAUAAACCCCCCGGUCGCCCUCCAUGCAGGGGGGCGAUCAUUACACAGUCGAACAACACCCUACACUCACUAACCACAGAGAGAGAGGCAGAGACGAGCCGACUGCUCCCCUCUUCCUCCUCCCAACACAGCUCUAGGAGCAACUUUGUACUCUGUUCAUACACAUCAAACACUCCGGCAGGACUAGGGGUAUUAUCUCUACGGAGAGCCCUGAACCUGGGUACAUCGUGCGUUCCAUGCGUGUACCAACCUCGUUCCCAUCGUCCACCUUUGUCCCUUCGGUUCUCACCGAAUUUAGCCUACCUAUGGCAUAUGUUGUGAGUAUUCACCGACAUUUGGCGCCCACCGUGGGGCCGAUCGCGGCAUCGACUGGCUUUACGCGCUGGGCGGGCCCCCGCACCUACACCACCGGAUGCAUCGCGUCCGGAUCAGUUUGCAUGCCCGUGGAGCCCGCUUUCGACGAGGCAACACCCAUGAUGAUCGACGUCCCCGUCCGCCAUGCGGAUUCGGACAAAGAUUCUGAUGAGGAGGCGCUCCCUAGCGUCGUUGUCGCUGCUAUGGAGAACCUCAGCGUUCUCUUCAGCGACCUACGUAUCAACGACGGUCCGCGCUACUUCGGCAAGGACUUCGACGUUGAGGCGCUCUGUGCCAGCUUCAGCAGGCUCUCUAUCGCUGAGAUGCCUCCCCACGACGUAUAUCCCAGCAACAUCCUCGUCUUUGACAGCCCUCCGCCGUCGAUGGGGUUAUUUACCCCAUACCACGUUGCUGUCGUCUCCAACACCGUGGAAGUGAUGGUUAUCGGCACCGGCACCAGCACGGCUCCCGACAAGGCCUCAGCAGGUGCUGGUGAGCCCGCCACUGCCACCACCGAUACUCUUCAGGACGCCAUCGCCGGCCUGAGGACACUCAUCACCGCUUCCGCAAACCCUGCUGACGCUCGGGCCUCGCUAGAGGAGGCUCGCAAGCAUAUCCUAGAGGAGGGCAUUGCCGUAGUUUCGGAGAAACGUCGGAUGGAGGCUACGCAGUGCAAGUAUAACUCCGCAUACGGCCUUACUCCGAUUUCCAGGCCCCUAGUCGGCUUGGAUCGGUCCGCAGCCGCGGCCGGUUCAUCGCCGAAGUCCUAGGUGGCGAUCUGCCCACCUACGAGACCCCUGCGGCCAACAUGCGAGCGGCUCAGGCAGCCAUGGAGGAGAUGGCGAGCCUGGAAGGCGAUGAGCAUGCUUCCGGGAGAAGCGGGUCAAGGACCUCCUGGACGCCGCCAACCAGCAACACGCUCGAUGCGACCCCAGUCAAGAUCAGUCGGAGUCUCCGGGACCCAACCCCGCAGCAUGCCGCAACCCUAGCGGUUAGCAUCAUGCAGAAGGAUCUUCCUCGCAUCGCCCUUCUGGCCGAAGGGGCGAGGGAAGCCAAGACCGGCGCUCUCAUCGCCAGAGCGAGCACACUUCGGGCUUGCGUCACGGAGGCGACGAGGGUGAUUCGGAGUGUGAGAUUCUUCCUCCGUGAAGAACUCACGUCUCUGGUUCGCGAGGCGCCUCCCCUCUCGCCACUCGGGCUGGCGCUCACGCCACCCAGGAUGAUCGGGAUGCUCGUCGACGUCUCAUCAUCCUGGCCCAGUCACCCCUCCUAGAGGAAGACGGUCCCGUCGGUCUGGCCUGCUUCGGCCCCCGGAUCCGAGGGGAGCCGUUCCCCCGAGGUUUCACCUUGCCUCGGGACACGCCCAAAUACAAUGGCAUGGCCAAGCCAGAGGACUGGCUGAUUGACUACACCACGGCUGUCGGCAUUGCCAGGGGCAACAAGCGCGUAGCAGGCCGCUACGUGCCACUCAUGCUGACCGGCUCGGCCCGGACUUGGCUUAACAGUCUCCCGGCCCGCAGUGUCAACUCCUAGGUGGACUUCGAGGAGGCGUUCGUCCGCAAUUUCACUGGCACCUACAAGCGCCCGGGCCAGCCCCGCGAGCUGGCCAUGUGCAUCCAGAAGCUCGACGAACCCUUCGCGACUACGUCACCCGGUGGACGGAGCUCCGUAACUCCUGCGAGGGGGUGCAUGAAGUACAAGCCAUCCAGUACUUCAUCGACGGUUGCCGAGACGGCACCCUCCUCAAGCACAAGCUUAUGUGCUCCAAGCCCACGUCCCUGGCGGUGCUCAUGGCAAAGGCGGACAAAUACGCCACGGCCGACUUGGCGAUGCGCGUCAAAGUUACUGCCUUGGACAAAGCUGUACCUACGCCGACUACUCCCAAGCCGGCUGGGGACAACCGAGGCGGCCAGAACAACUACAAGCGCAAGGCAGAUCAGACGGAUUCCCGCUCCAACAGCAAGUUGGUGGCCAGCGUGGAGGGCGAAACAUCGGCUCCUCAAGCCGGCCCUCCGCGAAAGCGUCCCGACAGAAGCAACACCAACUGGCUGCCCAAGCAGUCCUUCGAGCAGCUGCUCGAUGCCCCCUGCAAGAUACAUUCUGGGGUGCAGCCAUCUUCCCACACCCUUCGACAGUGUAGCUUUGCACGCCGGCUGUCGCAAGGGGAUGGCCUGCCGGCUCCUCUAGGUGCGCAGGCGGCACCUCAUGCACCGGCUCCCAUCCAUGCUCCGGCCCCGCCGCCGCCGCCUCGCGACGACGGCCACCACCAAGACGACUACCCUCAUCAAGACGGAGCGUUCGUCGUCUUCACCAGUGAAGGCAACGACAAGCACAGCCUGCGCCAGAGGCGGCGCGAGGUGAACGCCAUGGUCCCACCCGGGUUCCCUAGUACAUGCAUUGGUCCGACAAACCAAGCACAUGGAGCCAGGUGGACCAUCCUGCGGUGAUGCCCAACCCGGGAUCGUACGCACUCGUCCUCGACCCCACCUUUGCCUCCAAGAGGCUCACCUGCCGAUUCUCCUGGGUGUUGGUCGACGGCGGCAGCAGCAUCAACAUCCUCUACCUUGACACUCUCCUCAAGCUCGGACAAAAGGAGACGGACGUCCUACCGACCAGUACUAUCUUCCAUCGCAUCGUGCCUGGGCAGUCCUGCUCGCCCAUUGGUAAGAUCCAGCUGGACGUCCUCUUCGGCGACAAAGCCCACUUCCACCGAGAGUCUGUAAGGUUCGAGGUAGUGGAUCUCAGCAGCCCGUAUCAUGCGCUGCUGGGAAGACCGGCUCUGGCCAAGUUAUGGCUAUUCUGCAUUAUGCCUACCUGAAGAUGAAGAUGCCGGGUCCCAAGGGCAUCAUCACUGUUGUUGGCGAUUACAAGAAGUCGCUCGAGUGUGCCCAAGAUAGCAGCCGCCUCGCCGACGCCUUGGUGAUUGCUGAGGAGAAGCGGCAGAUCGACCGGCUCGUGGCCCAGGCUACUAAGCAGCCGGCGAUUCCUUCUCCUCCGUCCCAUUCGGCCGGCGAGGGCUCUUUCAAGCCGACUAAAGAGACCAAGCAGGUCCCACUCGACCCUGCCAACCCAAAGCAGUGCGUCACCAUCGGGGCUGGCCUCAGCCCCAAAUAGGAAGGCGAGCUCGUCGACUUCCUCCGUGAGAAUCGGGACAUCUUUACAUGGUCCCCCAAGGACAUGCCGGGUGUUCCGAGGAAGUACGCCGAGCACAAACUUCACGUGCGACCGGAUGCAAAGCCGGUGAAACAACCCUUGCGCCGCUUCGCCGAGGGGAAGCGACGCACGAUCGGAGAAGAGAUCACCCGGCUCCUUGCAGCCGGCUUCAUCAUGGAGGUUUUCCACCUGGACUGGCUGGCCAAUCCAGUCCUGGUGCUGAAGAAGAACAACACCUGGCGAAUGUUUAUUGACUACACUAGCCUGAAUAAGGCUUGUUCGAAAGACCCUUUUGCGUUGCCUAGGAUAGAUCAAGUGAUCGACUCCACUGCAGGCUGCGAAUUGCUAUCAUUUCUGGAUGCUUAUUCGGGCUACCAUCAAAUCAAGCUGGAUCCAGCUGAUCGCCUGAAGACCUCCUUCAUCACACCCUUCGGGGCCUACUGCUACACCACCAUGACGUUCGGUCUGAAGAACGCAGGUGCGAUGUUCCAACAUUGCAUGCAGUAGUGCCUACUGCCACAGAUCGGCAGAAACAUCCACGUCUAUGUGGAUGACAUCGUCAUCAAGACGAGGCAGCACUUCAGCCCCCUCGACGACUUGUGGGAGAUGUUCGCCAACCUGCGCGAGUACAAGAUCCGGCUCAACCCGGAGAAGUGCGUCUUCGAGGUUUGAUGUCAGCUAUGCUAAUGCAACGAAAGACCUUCCAAUGGCGCCAGAAAUAGGCACGUUUAUGGGAGAAUACUUGAUUUGAUCCUCCUCGGAAAUACUUCUGCCACGGUUAUGCCUUAAGGGACUUCCUAGGAAAGUAUGCAAACGAUUACCCCCGUGGCCUUGGAGCCUUGCGUUGGUGUUCCCUCGAAGCGGAAAGGGUGAUGUAGCGUAGCGCUGGUAAGUACUUCCCUUAGUUUGAGAACCAAGGUAUCGAACCAGUGGAGGAGUAUCACAAGUGCCUGCACAAACACAAAGAGCUUGCUCCCAACGCUGUGAAGGGGUUGUCAAUCCCUUAUAGAUUGUUUGCCAAGUGAGAACUGAAAGUAACAAAGUAACAAAGCAAAGUAAAAGCGGAGGUGUAACCGAUGGUUGUGAAUAGACCCGGGGGCCGUAGUGUUUACUAGUGGCUUCUCUCAUGAAAGCAAGUAGACGGUGGGUGAACAAAUUACUGUCGAGCAAUUGAUAGAACCAGGCAAAGUCGUGACGAUAUCUAUGGCAAUGAUUAUAUCUAUAGGCAUCACGUCCAAAAGAAGUAGACCGAUACUUUCUGCAUCUACUACUAUUAUUCCACACGUCGACCGCUAUCCAUCAUGCAUCUGGUGUAUUAAGUCCAUAAGAACAGAGUAACGCCUUAAGCAAUAUGACAUGAUGUAGAGGGAUAAUCUCAAACCAAUGAUGAAAACCCCAUCUUGUUACCCUUGAUGCCAACUACUUGAUGUGUGCCUUGCUGCCCCUACUGUCACUGGGAAAGGUCACCACAUGGUAGAACACAAAACCAAGCACUUCUCCCAUUGCAAUAAUUAUAGAUCUAGUUGGCCAAACAAAACCCAAGACUCGGAGAGACUUGCAAGGAUAUCAAAUCAUGCAUAUAAGAAAUCAUCAAAGACUCAAAUAUAUAUCAUAGAUAAUAUGAUCACAAAUCCACAAUUCAUCGGAUCUUGACAAACACACCGCCAAAGAAGAUUACAUCGGAUAGAUCUCCAUGAAGAUCAUGGAGAACUUUGUAUUGAAGAUCCAAGAGAGAGAAGAAGCCAUCUAGCUACUAACUACGGACCCGUAGGUCUGAAGUGAACUACUCACGAGUCAUUGGAGGGGCGAUGAUGAUGAUGAAGAAGCCCUCCAACUCCAAAGUCCCCUCCGGAAGGGCAUCGGGAAGGGUCUCCAAAUGAGAUCUCGCGGAAACGGAAGCUUGCGGCGGCGGAAAAGUAUUUUCAAGGCUCCCCUGAUUUUUUUCUGAAUUUUUGGGAAUAUAUAUGCCAAGGAUCUAGGUCAGGGGCGGCCAGGGAGGCCACAAGCCCUCCCCCCGCCGCCUCCCCCUGGUGGCGGAGUGGGAGCUUGUGGGCUCCCUGGAGCCCACCUCGCUUGGCCCACAGGCCCCCUGAUCUUCUUCCGUUCGGGCAAAAAUCAUUUUGGGGUUUUUAUUCCGUUUGGACUCCGUUCCAAAAUCAGAUCUGAAAAGAGUCAAAAACACAGAAAAAACAGGAACUGGCACUUGGCACUGAAUUAAUAAGUUAGUCCCAAAAAAGAUAUAAAAGGUACAUAAAACAUCCAAAGAUGACAAGACAACAACGUGAAACCAUAAAAAAAUUAUAGAUACGUUUGAGACGUAUCAGGGUUCCAGGCGGCAAACUCUUGGGCUUCUUCGUGUCCGCCCGCGGUAUCGAAGCGAACCCCGAGAAGAUCGGCACCAUCGAGCGGAUGGUGCGGCCGGCUCAAAUCCUCGACGUCGAGAAGUUUGCCGGCUGCUUGGCAUCCCUUAGCCGGUUCGUCAGCCGGCUUGGCGAGAAGGCCCUUCCACUCUACUAGCUCAUGAAGAAGACAACGAAGUUCGAGUGGAACAACCAGGCGGACGAAGCCUUCCGCGACCUCAAGCGGGUAAUCUCGAGCGUGCCAAUCUUGCCAGCGCCGUCUGAAAGGGAACCCAUACUCAUAUACAUUACGGCAACCACUCGCGUGGUUAGCGUAGUGUUGGUAGUUCAGCGUAAAGAGGAGGGCAAGGCAUUGCCAGUGCAGCGCCCUGUCUAUUACCUUAGCGAGGUCUUGUCCGCCUCUAAGCAGAACUAUCCGCAUUAUCAAAAAAUGUGUUAUGGUGAUUACCUUGCUGCAAAGAAGUUGAAGCAAUACUUCCAAGAGCAUGCCAUCAUCGUGGUAAGCACUGCUCCACUUUCAGAGAUCAUGGGCAACCGUGAUGCCACGGACAGGAUUGCCAAAUGGUCCAUCGCUAUGGCGGAUCACGAUAUCCGGUACGAGCCCCGUACCGCCAUCAAAUCUCAGGUGGUGGCUGAUUUCUUAGUCGACUGGGCCGAGACCCAGUUUGAGCCACCACCUCCAGACUCCACACAUUGGCAGAUGCACUUCGACGUCUCGAAGAUGCAUAGGACUAGGAUCCGGCAUCGUCUUAACGUCUUCGAAAGGGGACCAGCUCAAGUAUGCUCUCCAGAUCCAUUUUGCCGCCUCCAACAACGUCACCGAGUACGAAGCACUUGCUCAUGGCCUACGGCUUGCCAAGGAGAUCGGCAUCCGGCAGCUCAUAUGCUUCGGCGAUUCAGACUUGGUGGUGUAGCAGGUCUCUGGCGAAUGGGACGCCAGGGACGCCAACAUGGCGAGCUACCGCUUCCUCAUUCAGCAGCUCAGCGGCCCCUUCGAGGGCUGUGAGUUUCACCACAUUCCCAGGGCGGAAAAUGAGGCGGCCUAUACACUGGCGAAGAUCGGCUCCACGAGACAGGCCAUUCUAGCCGGCGUCUCCCUCGAGCAACUCCAUAAGCCGUCUAUCAAGCCGUCUCCCAAGUCGGCAUCGAUCUUUGUGCCGGCUGACUCUGCGGUGCAAGCGCCGUCGGCUCCAUCAGCUACGCCAGCUGCGGUGCCCACGCCGGCUGCGCUGACUACGCCGACUCCAAUAGCGGCACCGGCUGAAUCCAUGGUGCAAGCACCAUCGGCUCCACCAACUACGCCAGUUGCAGUUCCUAUGCCGGCUCUAUUGGCCCCACCGACUCCAAUGGCGGCACCGGCUACGACAACAACCCCGGCUCUGCCUGGACUCGAAUCCUGUCGUUGCGACACCCGGUGGGUGGACGUCAUGGAGAUAGACGGUGAGCAAGCUGCCGCGGCAGCACCAGAGACACCUUGUCUCGAGUCUACAACCACGGCUCCAUCAAGCUCGAGGGCUGCAGAAGCCCCCAACAGUCAGGACGAGGCGGAGGCGACCCUUGUGUCGGCUCCAUCAUGGGCUCAAACUAUUCUGGCCUUCCUUCUUCACGGCGAACAUCCUCAAAACGAGGCGGAGGCGAGGCAGAUCUAGCGCAGAUCUGCAGCCUACGCCAUUAUCAAUCGCGAACUGGUACGGCGCAGCGUGACCGGCGUGUUCCAACGCUGCGUAGAAUCAGAAAAGGGACACGAGAUCCUUAGAGACAUUCGCCAGGGGGAGUGUGGGCAUCACACCGCCUCCAGAACCCUGGUGGCCAAGGCAUUCCGCCACGGAUUCUACUGGCCCACGGCUCUCGAGGAGGCCGUGGAUCUGGUCGACAAGUGCGAAGGUUGCCAAUUCUUCAGCGUGAAGAGCCAUAUGCCGCCUUCGGCCCUCAAAACCAUCCCCCUGUCAUGCCCAUUCGUCGUCUGGGGACUAGACAUGGUAGGGCCCUUCAAGACGGCUCGCGGUGGGAUGACGCAUCUCUUGGUGGCCGUCGACAAGUUCACCAAGUGGAUCGAAGCCAGACCUAUCAAGAAGCUCGACGGCCCGACCGUUGUCAAGUUCAUCACAAACAUCUCUGUCCGAUACGGCGUUCCCCACAGCAUCGUCACCGACAACGGCACCAAUGUCGCCAAGGGCGCUCUAGCGCUCUACUGUUCGAAGGUAGGCAUCCGGCUUGAUUUGGCAUCAGUGGCACACCCCUAGUCGAAUGGCCAAGCAGAGAGGGCCAAUGGCAUGAUUCUGGCCGGCAUCAAGCCAAGACUGGUGGCACCACUGGUCAGAUCAGCCGGCUGCUGGAUUGAAGAACUGUCGGCUGUGUUAUGGAGCCUCCGCACCAUGGCCAACCGAUCGACCGGCUUCACUCCGUUCUUUCUUGUAUACGGGUCCGAGGCUAUUAUUCCCACGGAUAUCGAGUUCGACUUGCCUCGGGUCGCCCUAUACACAGAAGUGAAGGCGAAGGAGGCAAGAGAAGACGGUGUGGAUCUCCUCGAAGAAGCAAGGGACUUGGCCUUGAGCCGGACGGCCAUCUAUUAACAGAAGCCGAGAUACUACCACAUCAAAAAGAUCAAGCCUCUCUCUUUCAGGGAGGGAGACUUGGUCCUCAAAAGAAUACAGCGCACUGCCGGCCAUAACAAGCUCUCAUCCCCAUGGGAGGGACCCUUCAUCAUCAGUAGGGCGUUGCACAACAACGCUUACUACUUGAUCGAUGCCCAAAAGCCAAGGAAGCGCAAGAGGGACGACUCCGGCCAAGAAACGGAACGUCCAUGGAACGCGGCGCUGCUUCGCCCGUUCUAUUGCUAGAAGGUAAGAAUCAAACAAGNNNNNNNNNNNNNNNNNNNNNNNNNNNNNNNNAAAGAGCAUGCACAUGUAUCUUUCUCCCUUUUCAGGGAUCAACAGCAAAUGCAAUAAAAAGAGCAUGCCUCAUGUUUCUUUUUAUUGAGAGUUUUCACUCAGUGUACGCCCCCUGACUGGCUUCAAUAAGCUCGGGGGCUACACCGCGUACACCUCUUGCUAGCUUUAUCAAGCUUGGAGGCUACGCAGCGCACACCCCUUGCUGGCUUUAACAAGCUCGGGGCCUCGCUAGCCGCUCGGACGCCUUCCUUAUUGUAAAAGAACACAUAGUGUAACCGGCUGAUCCCUGUUCACCUCAUAUGAGCUUGCGGGAUGGCUCGAGCCGUCUGGCUUGCGAGGUGACGCCAGGUCAGGCCGGAUACAUGCAAAGUUCGGCUACAAAGGGUCGCCGGCUCGGGCUGGCUCGAUCAUAUAUACGAUCUCAUUCAAGCCGACCUCUAUUGGUUUAUGUCUUGUUCUUUAAGUCUUGAUGGCUUCGAAAAAUCUAAGUCUCGUAUUCUAAAAUCAGAAACCUCGACCCAGCCACACACCGGCUCCCGGCUGUCGGGUUGGCGGGAUGGAAGAUUAGGAAUACGAGGAUUGGAGAAAAAGGAGUCAACCAGGAAUCAAAAGACAAGAAUAUGAGACAACACGCAUGGCAAUACAAAUAUAAUGCUGAAUAUAUACAUUCAAAAAAGCAUUGGCCCACCGCCCACGUUCAUUACAUCCCUCCGGGGGUAGAACAAAACACAAAGGACACCGGCUACGGGGCUGCGGCCUCAUCGGUCGCCCCGCCGCUGCUCCUGAUGUGGUAGCUUAACCAUCUCCGGCUGCUCCCGAGGCGGUUGCACCGUAUCCUUCGCGAGGGCUCCCGGCUCCGUCCGCACCGGAGUCGGCGUACGCCGCACCGCUGGAGGCGGCAGCAGAUUCCAUAGCUCGGGCCGCCUCGUCGGAGCUGCCGUCAGGGUCAUAGGGCUGAAGGCCGUGCAGAUCUUCAGCGAUCACACCGCCAUCUUCACCCCGCUCCAAAACAAAAUCGUCCCAGGCUGCGUACUCGGCGAUGUCGGUGGCCCUCACAUGCAGUGCCUCCUCCAUGCCCUGUAGCUCCGCCUCCGAGCCAUCACGCUGGGCGGCGAGUGAUACGUCUCCAACGUAUCUACUUUUCCAAACACUUUUGCCCUUGUUUUGGACUAUAAUUUGCAUGAUUUGAAUGGAACUAACCUGGACUGACGUUGUUUUCAGCAGAAUUGCCUUGGUGUUAUUUUUGUGCAGAAAUCAAAGUUCUCCAAACGUCCUGAAAAUUUACGGGGAGCAGUUUUGGAAAAUAUCAAAAAUAUUUGCGCCAAGUUCCACCUCAGGGGGUGGGCCAGUGGGCCACAAGCCCCUGCUCCGCCACCAAACCCCUCGUGGCGGUGGGCAGGCUUGUGGGGCCCACAGGCACCUGCCGCCCCAACUCCAGCUCUAUAAGUUGUCUUUCAUCCCAGAAAAAUUAAAAAGAGAAGUUUUCGUCGCGUUUUCGAUGCGGAGGCGCCGCCACCUCCUGUUCUUCAUCUGGAGGGCAGAUCUGGAGUCCGUCUUGGGCUCCGGAGAGGGGAAAUCGUCGCCAUCGUCAUCAUCAACCUUCUUCCCUCUCCAAUUACAUGAAGCUCUUCGUCGUUCGUGAGUAAUCUAUUCGUAGGCUCGCUGGGCGGUGAUGAGUAGGAUGAGAUCUAUCAUGUAAUCGAGUUAGUUUUGAUGGGGAUUGAUCCUUACUAUCCACUAUGUUCUGAGAUUUGAUGUUGGUACUACUUUGCCAUGCUUAAUGCUUGUCACUAGGGCCCGAGUGCCAUGAUUUCAGAUCUGAAAUUAUUAUGUUGUCACCAAUAUAUAUGUGUUUUAGAUCCGAUCUUGCAAGUUGUAGUUACCUACUAUGUGUUAUGAUCCGGCAAGCCCGGAGUGACAAUAACCGGAACCACUCCCGGUGAUGACCAUAGUUUGAGGAGUUCAUGUGUUCACCAAGUGCUAAUGCGUUGGUCCGGUUCUUUAUUGAAAGAACCUUAAUAUCCCGUAGUUUCCUUUUGGACCCCGCUGCCACGGGAGGGAAGGACAAUAUAUGUCAUGCAAGUUCUUUUCCCUAAGCAUGUAUGACGACACACGGAAUGCAUGCCUACAUCACAUUGACGAACGGGAGCUAGCCACAUAUCUCUCCGUGUUAUAGCUGUUGCAUGAUGAAUAUCAUCCAAACAAAUCACCGACCCAUUGCCUACGAGUUUGUCCUAUUGCUGUUACUUGUAUUGCUCUGCUUCUACUACUGUUGCGACUGCUAUUACUUGUCUUGCUCUGUUGCUACUACUGUUGCUACUGCUGUUACUUGUCUUGCUCUGCUGCUGCUACUACUACUGUCGGUUGCUACUGUUGCUACUUGCUACUGCUAUCACUAUUGUUGUUCCUUGCCACUGCUAUUGCUUGUUACACUGCCGUUACUCGCUACUUUGCUGUUACUACUGUGCUUGCAGAUACUAAUUUUUCAGGUGUGGUUGAAUCUGACAAAUUCAGCUGCUAAUACUUGGGAGUAUACUCUCACCUCCCGUCGUGCAAACCAACAAAUUGGGUCGAAUACUCUACCCUCGAAAACGGUUGCGAACCCACGCGCUGUGCUGCGAACCCACGCGCUGGUGGGCCGUCAACACCAUUCUUCUAGUUUCAUCACUAGGGAGUGCUAUCAGCAUUCUUCUGGUGCCAUUGCAGGAGAAGGUUUGUUGUUAUAAGCAUUCGUAUAGCUAACGCCAGAGAUUGCACGAUCAACAUUUUUCUGGCGCCGUUGUCGGGGAGGUAUUGCUAUAUUCUCUGAGUCACUUGGGAUUUAUAUCUCCUGAUCACUAUGAACAAUCUGAAGGAUCCGAAGACCAAAGUCUUGCCCUCAAUUACGAGGGGAGGUAAGGAAUUGCCAUCUAGCUCUGCACUUGAUUCACCUUCAGUUAUGAGUAAGUUUGCGACAUCACCUCCUGCUAGAAAUCUUGAUAUGUCGCCUAUGCCUGAUGAUACUAUGCCUGAUACUGCUUUGCCUGAUGAUGCUAGAGAUGCUAUUUUGCCUGAUGAUGCUAUGCUUGACACUGCUAGAGAUAUUCCUUUGCCUGAUGUUCCACUAGGAGUGUUCCUUGAUGCUCAUAUUGCUAGAGUUACUGCCAAUGCUCGUGAUGCCUCUGAUACUGCCGAUACUAUUGAGAUAGAACCUGCUUUUGCUCCUGUUAGAUCUAGCUCUCCUAGAUAUGAAUUGCAUGUUAUACCUGAGGGUUAUGUUAUGGAGGGAGAGAUAGCUAAGGAUUUUCUUGCGUGUAAGGAUGCCUAUGACGCUGAGAAAUUACUUCUCAAGUGGAAGGAAAAAUCUCGGGAAGCUAGGAUGAAAAAUGACCCGAAGUUUGCCACUUCGCCUAUCUUUGUCACCGAUAAGGAUUAUGAAUCAUCUAUCGACCCUGAGAUAAUCUCUCUAGUCGAAUCUGAUCCUUUUCACGGUUAUGAGUCUGAGACGGUCAUACCCCAUCUUGCAAAACUAUCCAAAAUAGCCAACCUCUUCACUAAUGAGGAGAAGAUUCGCCACCACUAUAUCCUUAAGCUAUUUCCUUUCUCUCUAAAGGAUGACGCUAAAGCCUGGUUCACCUCUCUUGCUCCUGGAUGUGUGCGUAGUCCCCAGGAGAUGGUCUAUUACUUCUGUGAGAAAUAUUUCCCUGCCCAUAAGAAGCAAGCUGCCUUGCAGCAAAUAUACAACUUUGCUCAACUCCAAGAAGAGAGUCUUCCACAAGCUUGGGGGAGGCUCGUCCAGCUAGAGAAUGCUUUGCGUGAUAACGCUCUUAAGAAGAACGAGAUACUUGAUAUCCUCUAUAACGGACUUACCGAUGUCUCUAGAGACUACCUAGAUAGUUGUGCCGGUUGUGUUUUUAGGGAACGAACUGUAGAACAAGCUGAGACCCUACUGAAUAACCUCUUGAUCAACGAUAAUGCUUGGACUAUUCCCGAACCACCUCCUAAGCCAACUCCUAAGAAAAGAGGUAUUCUAUUCCUCAGUCCCGAAGAUAUACAAGAAGCCAAGAAAUCUAUGCAAGAGAAAGGCAUUAGAUCUGAAGAUGUCAAAAAUCUACCACCCAUCAAAGAGAUCCACGGUCUCGAUAACCUGAUACAGGUUGUGGAAGUGAAUUCUCUGCGUAGGUUUGAUGAGAGUGAUAUUCCUUUUGAUAAACCUGCUAGCCUAUGCUUUGAUGAAUUUGACAACUUUGUUGCCAAACAACAGAGUUUCAAUGAUUAUGUUAGCAGUCAUUUGGAACAAAGUACUCGUAUGAUUAGCCAUUUAAGUGCUUGUGUAGAUAGAAAUGUCAAUGCUCUGAAGCUCUUGAGUAAACAUGCCUCUAUGAUUACUACUUAGGUAGGACAAGUACUUAAAGCUCAGAAUGACCUGCUCAAUGAAUUAAAUGACAACUCUGUCAGAGUCAUUACUAGAGGAGGCAAAAUGACUCAGGAACCUUUGUAUCCUGAAGGUCAUCCUAAGAGAAUUGAUCAAGAUUCUCAAGGAAUCAAUGCUGAUACACCUAGUCAUCCUAAGGAGAAGAAGAAGGAUGAUAGGAGCCUACACGCCAGUUCACCAAAUACUGUCACACCUGAAGAACCUAAUGAUAUUUCUGCGUCUGAUGCAUAAACACAAUCAGGUGAUGAACAUGAACCUGGUGACAAUAUGGACAGAGUUGUUCAUAAUAAUGCUCAACCUAGCCAUGAUGAGGAUGUGGAGAUUGAACCUACGGUUAAUCCUGAUAAUCCACAACCUAAGAGAUACGACAAGAAUGACUUCACUACUAGGAAGCAUGGUAAAGAAAGAGAGCCAUGGGUUCAGAGACCUAUGCCCUUUCCUCCUAAGCCAUCCAAGAAAAAGGAUGAUGAGGAUUUUGAGCGCUUCGUUGAGAUGAUAAGACCCGUCUUUCUGCAGAUGAGGUUAACUGAUAUGCUCAAGAUGUCUCCGUAUGCCAAGUACAUUAAAGAUAUCUGACCAAUAAACGGAAGAUACCAAAUCUUGAGAUCUCCACCAUGCUUGCCAAUUACACUUUCAAAGGUGGAACUCCUAAGAAACUUGGUAAUCCCGGCGUGCCCACUAUACCUUGCUCCAUUAAAGGAAACUGUGUAAGAACUGCCUUAUGUGACCUUGGAGCCGGUGUUAGUGUUAUGCCACUCUCUCUUUAUCGUAGACUUGAGUUGGAUAAGUUGACACCCACUGAAUUUUCUCUGCAAAUGGCCAACAAAUCAACUGCUUUCCCUAUCGGCAUUUGCGAGGAUGUUCCUGUUGUGGUUUCUAACACUACUAUCUUAACAGACUUUGUUAUCUUGGAUAUUCCCGAGGACGAUGCCAUGGCUAUCAUCCUCGGAAGACCCUUCUUAAACACUGCAAGGACUGUUAUAGAUUGAAACAAAGGCAAUGUCACUUUCCACGUCAACCGUAAUGAGCACACAAUGCACUUUCCGAAGAAACGAUAUCCAGUACAUUGCAUCAAUGCUAUCGAAAAGACUUCAUCGAUUCUUAUUGGGAGCUUUGAAUGCCCUGUUCCUCAUGUCAAGAUGAAGUAUGAUUUGCUUGUUGGGGAGAUUCAUAUCCCCAUUGAGGUGACUUACUGGCUAUCAGAAAAUUCUCCGAUCUCUCUUGCAAUUCGAGAAGGUUUUGUCAUAAGGACUUGAUCAAUCCCAUUGACUGAUUUCUUUCAAUGACCAUGAAACAGAUGAAUCGGAGAGUCACAUACCUCUGUUUUAAGCUUUUCUUUUCUUUUGCUUAGAAGAAAAAUGAUAGAAUUAGUUUAGUUUUUCAUAUUUUCUGUUUUAGCGUCCCGGAGAAAAAUACCUCGAAAAUAAAAGUUCUCCGAUGGUCCUGAAAAUUUAGUAUGAUUUUUUCUGAAAUUUUUGAAAAUUUCUGGGCCUGAGAACUGGCCAGGGGGCCUGACCAGUGGGCCACAAGCCCCCCCCCCCGCCCCUGCCANNNNNNNNNNNNNNNNNNNNNNNNNNNNNNNNNNNNNCUGCCACCUCCCCCCCUGGUGGCGGGGUACAAGCUUGUGGGGCCCACAGGCACCCCCUCCACUCAUUCCAGCUCCCAGCCUCUUCUUCCACCUCUAAAAAAAAUUGUUUCGCAGCUCAAACCCGUGUUCUUGCUCAUUUGGCUGUGAUUUUCGAUCUCCUUGCUCAAAGCACCAUUCUCCGAACCGUUUUGGGGAAAUUACUCCUUGGUAAGUCACUCCUCCAUUGGUCCAAUUAGUUUUUCCUCUAGUGCUUUAUCCUUCGCAAAUUCUUGCUACCUUGGUGACCCUGUUCUUGAGCUUGAAAGGUUGAUUUUAGUGGUCCCAAGUAGUUUUAGCGCGUGAUACGGUCUCUAGGCACUAGUAGGAGUAGUUGCUACAAGUUGGGUUAAUCCUUAUUCACUUUUCUUUCGAAGUCUCUAAAAGUUUCAGAAUUUUUCAGAGCUAGAAAAAGGAAAAGAUGAGGAGGUUCUUGCGAGGCUCUUCAAGCCGUAACCCCAAGGAGGAUGAGAAGAAUUAGCCCAAGUACGUAGUCCCUCGAGUCACAGGAGUUCGAGCGUGCGAGUGGCCAAGUGAUGAAUUUUUGCGCACCGCCGGACUUUAUGAAGACUUUUAUUACUUGGUGGAGAACGCAGGUCUUACUGCGUUCGUUGAAGAUAAGUGCCCACAAUAUCUCCUCCUCACCAAUAUUUUCGUUCAAAGCUUCAACUUUUAUCUGAGGAAGAAUCCUCCCAUGGUUGAGUUCAUGAUAUACGAUGUCCCCCAGUGCAUGAUGUUGCAGGAUUUUGGCAAUUUAUGCAAAUUACCUUAUGUUGGGGAUAUCCGUGACCCUCAUCCACGGGAUUUGGAGGAUUUCAUUGGUUCUAUUGCUGUUGGAGAGGAGAGAGGAGUGUCUCGCACUAGAAUUGCUAGCAUACAUUUUCCUGUGCUUCGGUACUUCUCACUAUUUGUGGGAAAAUGUUUGAUUGGCCGUGGGGAGGCUCGAUCACUUAGUUCUCCAGACCUUGCGGUUUUGCGCGAAGGUCUUUAAAACGAUAAGACUUAUAGCUUGGGCGCUAUAGUCGCUCAACGGUUGAACCUGAAUCGUUCUAAAGGUGUCGUCUAUGGAGGUAUCUAUGCUACCCGUCUUGCCAGACACUUUGAGAUAUCCAUUAGACUGGGAGAGGAAGGAGAGAUGCUUCUCCCUGAGAGAUAUCUGGAUUAUGACAGCAUGGUUCGCCAUGAUUUUCUGGAUAGAGAUUCUAGUAGACGGAUGAUUUAUAACUUGGUGUUUAGUCAGGGUACUCGAGAGACUAUUACUUUGCCUGCUCCUUCUUUGUUUGAUCUUCAUGAAGGAAGGUACACUAUUAUGCCCUCGGAUAUCUACGCAUAUUGGGGCUUGGCCCAACCACAGGCGCCCGUGCCCGAGCCGCCAUUCGAGUACCAGACGCCAGUUUAUCAGUGGGAGCCAGAGGAGCUCACACAGCAGUGGCAUCCACAGUCUGGUCCAGAGUAUCCUGGAGCUGGUUAUUUCCCACCAUGGGAGUAGACCAAGUUAGGCCAAAAGCUUAAGCUUGGGGGAGUACGUGUUCUCACCGAAUUUACAAUCUUGCUUAUGCUUUCACUUUGUUAGCCGGUGUUUACACUUUGCCACUGUAUUAUCCAUGCUAGUUUCUUUUUGUUUUCUUGUUUUCUUGCUUUGUGUCCUUUUGAGAAAACCCAAAAAGAUUUUUCUUUCUUCUUUUGCUUGUUGGGAGCUUUCCCGUGUAAAUAGUUUUCUUUUUCUUUGUGUCAAGGUAGAAGAUAUUGGUUACAAUACUUAGUGGUUCUUACAUGCUUGCAUUCAAUGUUAGUCAAACUCAUUGCAUCUUGAUGACUGUUGUCGCUCUCUAGUUGGUCGCUUCCCAGUCUUUUGCUAGCCUUCACUUGUACUAAGCGGGAUUACUACUUGUGCAUCCACUCCCAUAAACCCAAAAGUUUUUCCAUGAGAGUCCACCAUACCUACCAAUUUGCGGUAUCUACCUGCCGUUCCAAGUAAAUUUGCAUGUGCCGUUCUCUAAACCUUCAAGAAAUAAUAUGUUUUGCAUGCCCGAACCGCUCAUGUGGUGACAAAGGGCUAUUGGUAUCUUCCAUGCUAGGAGUGUUAUCCUCGACAUGUGUUUAUUCACAGUCAUUCACGAGAAAGGGGCCGGUAUUUGGGAUGCCCGGUUCCACGCUUAAAUAAAAAACAUAACUGUAAAACAAGACUCCCCCCGGAUUGAUGUUAGUAUGGACGGUACCCGAGGAUUCAGCUAGCCGUGGAGUGUGAUUGAUUGGUGGUGGGGGAGUUAAAACUUUACUUUUCUGUUUGGGAACCGCCUAUAGCAUGAGUAGCAUGGAAGAUAUUCAGAACUCUUGGUCAUUGCAUUGACAAUGAAAGUAUGCCACCCAAAAUUAUUAUCUCUGUUUUCAAAGCUUGAGCUCUGGCACCUCUGCAAAUCAAUGCUUCCCUCUGCGAAGGGUCUGUCUAUUUAUUUUCCUGUCGAGUCAUCCUCCUCUUAUAUAAGCACCAAUUAGAGAGCACCUGUGUCAUUUUUAUGCUUUGCUUUUGAUUGGUAUUGAGUAUGACUAUGACUGGAUCUUUGUUGCUAUGAAUUACAAUGUUUAGUCAGCCCUUGAUCUUUGAAAGUGCUCUGCAUUUAUGUUUUGCGGUCUCAGAAAGAGCUAGCGAGAUACCACCUAGUCAUAUUGCUUCAUACUUGUCUUGAUUGAAGUGUUGGUAUUUGAAACUCAUUAUUAUUUGCUCGUUAGCUGAUUAUGCCAUUGAUAUUAGUUUACUGUGAGACCUUCGUGUCAUUUGCUUAUGUGGUUAACUUGUGAUCUUGCUGAAAUUCUGGUUAUGAGUUAGACUUAGUUGCAAAAACAAGAUCAAACACAAUUUGUCAAAGUUUUUCUUUCUCUGUCAGUUUGUCAACUGAGUUGCUUGAGGAGAAGCAUGGUUUUAAGCUUGGGGGAGUUGAUACGUCUCCAACGUAUCUACUUUUCCAAACUCUUUUGCCCUUGUUUUGGACUAUAAUUUGCAUGAUUUGAAUGGAACUAACCUGGACUAAGGUUGUUUUCAGCAGAAUUGCCUUGGUGUUAUUUUUGUGCAGAAAUCAAAGUUCUCCAAACAUCCUGAAAAUUUACGGGGAGCAGUUUUGGAAAAUAUCAAAAAUAUCUGCGCCAAGUUCCACCUCAGGGAAUGGGCUAGUGGGCCACAAGCCCCUGCUCCGCCACCACCCCCUGGUGGCGGUGGGUAGGCUUGUGGGGCCCACAUGCACCUCCCGCCCCCAACUCCAGCUCUAUAAGUUGUCUUCCUUCCGAGAAAAAAUAAAAAAAGAAGUUUUCAUCGCGUUUUCGAUACGAAGGCGCCGCCACCUCCUGUUCUUCAUCUGGAGGGAAGAUCUGGAGUCCGUCUUGGGCUCCGAAGAGGGGAAAUCGUUGCCAUCGUCAUCAUCAACCUUCUUCCCUCUCCAAUUCCAUGAAGCUCUUCGUCGUUCGUGAGUAAUCUAUUCGUAGGCUCGCUGGGCGGUGAUGAGUAGGAUGAGAUCUAUCAUGUAAUCGAGUUAGUUUUGAUGGGGAUUGAUCCUUACUAUCCACUAUGUUCUGAGAUUUGAUGUUGCUACUACUUUGCCAUGCUUAAUGCUUGUCACUAGGGCCCGAGUGCCAUGAUUUCAGAUCUGAAAUUAUUAUGUUGUCACCAAUAUAUGUGUGUUUUAGAUCCGAUCUUGCAAGUUGUAGUUACCUACUAUGUGUUAUGAUCCGGCAACCCCGGAGUGACAAUAACCGGAGCCACUCCCGGUGAUGACCAUAGUUUGAGGAGUUCAUGUGUUCACCAAGUGCUAAUGUGUUGGUCCAGUUCUUUAUUAAAAGGAGAACCUUAAUAUCCCGUAGUUUCCUUUUGGACCCCGCUGCCACGGGAGGGAUGGACAAUAGAUGUCAUGCAAGUUCUUUUCCCUAAGCACGUAUGACGACACAUGGAAUGCAUGCCUACAUCACAUUGACGAACGGGAGCUAGCCAUAUAUCUCUGUGUUAUAGCUGUUGCAUGAUGAAUAUCAUCCAAACAAAUCACCGACNNNNNNNNNNNNNNNNNNNNNNNNNNNNNNNNNNNNNNNNNNNNNNNNNNNNNNNNNNNNNNNNNNNNNNNNNNNNNNNNNNNNNNNNNNNNNNNNNNNNGAUAAUCUCAAACCAAUGAUGAAAACCCCAUCUUGUUACCCUUGAUGGCAACUACUUGAUGUGUGCCUUGCUGCCCCUACUAUCACUGGGAAAGGUCACUGAUACGUCUCCAACGUUUCUACUUUUCCAAACUCUUUUGCCCUUGUUUUGGACUAUAAUUUGUAUGAUUUGAAUGGAACUAAAAUGGACUGACGCUGUUUUGAGCAGAAUUGCCUUGGUGUUAUUUUUGUGCAGAAAUCAAAGUUCUCCAAACGUCCUGAAAAUUUACGGGGAGCAGUUUUGGAAAAUAUCAUAAAUAUCUGCGCCAAGUUCCACCUCAGGGGGUGGGCCAGUGGGCCACAAGCCCCUGCUCCGCCACCACCCCCCUGGUGGCGGUGGGCAGGCUCGUGGGGCCCACAGGCACCUGCCGCCGCCAACUCCAGCUUUAUAAGUUGUCUUUCGUCCCAGAAAAAAUAGAAAGAGAAGUUUUCAUCGCAUUUUCGAUACGGAGGCGCCACCACCUCCUCUUCUUCAUCUGGAGGGAAGAUCUGGAGUCCGUCUUGGGCUCCGGAGAGGGGAAAUCGUCCCCAUCGUCAUCAUCAACCUUCUUCCCUCUCCAAUUCCAUGAAGCUCUUCGUUGUUCGUGAGUAAUCUAUUCGUAGGCUCGCUGGGCGGUGAUGAGUAGGAUGAGAUCUAUCAUGUAAUCGAGUUAGUUUUGAUGGGGAUUGAUCCCUAGUAUCCACUAUGUUUUGAGAUUUGAUGUUGCUACUACUUUGCCAUGCUUAAUGCUGGUCACUAGGGCUCGAGUGCCAUGAUUUCAGAUCUGAAAUUAUUAUGUUGUCACCAAUAUAUGUGUGUUUUAGGUCCGAUCUUGCAAGUUGUAGUUACCUACUAUGUGUUAUGAUCCGGCAACCCCGGAGUGACAAUAACCGGAACCACUCCCGAUGAUGACCAUAGUUUGAGGAGUUCAUGUGUUCACCAAGUGCUAAUGCGUUGGUCCGGUUCUUUAUUGAAAGAACCUUAAUAUCCCGUAGUUUCCUUUUGGACCCCGCUGCCACGGGNNNNNNNNNNNNNNNNNNNNNNNNNNNNNNNNNNNNNNNNNNNNNNNNNNNNNNNNNNNNNNNNNNNNNNNNNNNNNNNNNNNNNNNNNNNNNNNNNNNNUGUCGAUGGAGAGACGAGGUCUCCCGGCAGGGCUUCGCCAAGCACCGACGGAGAGGAGGAGGAAGAAGAGCAGGGCUGCGCCGAGAGAGAGGGAAAAACUGUGUCUCAAUGGCCAAAAGUGCCCGGUAUAUAUAGGGGAAGGGGAGAGGGGGUGCCACCCCUAGGGUUCCCACCCUAGGGGGUGCGGCAGCCCCCCCAGAUGGGAGGUGCGGCGGCCAGAAGGGGGAGGAGGGGGUGGCGCACCAUCUGGUGGGCCUUAGGCCCACCUGGCCUAGGGUUUGCCCCCCCUUUUCUCUCCCUUGCGCUAUGGGCUGAGUGGGGAGGCGCACCAGCCCACCUAGGGGCUGGUUCCCACCCCCACUUGGCCCACCAAGGGGCUGGUUCCCUCCCGCACUUGGCCCAUCUAGCCUUUUGGGGUCGUUGCCCCCCUUCGGUGUACCCCCGGGGCCACCUCCGGUGGUCCCGGUACGUUACCGGUGAUGCCCGAAACACUUCCGGUAUCCGAAACCAUCCGUCCUAUAUAUCAAUCUUUACCUCCGGACCAUUCUAGAGCUCCUCGUGACGUCGGGAUCUCAUCCGGGACUCCGAACAACUUCCGGUAACCUCGUAUAACAAUUCCCUAUAACCCUAGCGUCAUCGAACCUUAAGUGUGUAGACCCUACGGGUUCGGGAGACAGGCAGACAUGACCGAGACACCUCUCUGGCCAAUAACCAUCAGCGGGGUCUGGAUACCCAUGGUGGCUCCCACUUGCUCCAUGAUGAUCUCAUCGGAUGAACCACGAUGUCAAGGAUUCAAUCAAUCCCGUACACGAUUCCCUUUGUUUGUCGGUAAGAACUCUGUCGGUAUAGAACUUGCCCGAGAUUCGAUCGUCGGUAUACCUAUACCUUGUUUAAUCUCGUUACCGGUAAGUCUCUUUACUCGUUUCGUAGCACGUCAUCGUGUGACUAACUCCUUAGUCACAUUGAGCUCAUGAUGGUGUUCUACCGAGUGGGCCCAGAGAUACCUCUCCGUCACACGGAGUGACAAAUCCCGAUCUUGAUUCGUACCAACCCAACAGAUACUUUCGGAGGUACACGUAGUGCACCUUUAUAGUCACCCAGUUACGUUGUGACGUUUGAUACNNNNNNNNNNNNNNNNNNNNNNNNNNNNNNNNNNNNNNNNNNNNNNNNNNNNNNNNNNNNNNNNNNNNNNNNNNNNNNNNNNNNNNNNNNNNNNNNNNNNCAAACGUCACAACGUAACUGGGUGACUAUAAAGGUGCACUACGGGUACCUCCGAAAGUAUCUGUUGGGUUGGUACGAAUCGAGAUCGGGAUUUGUCACUCCGUGUGACGGAGAGGUAUCUCUAGGCCCACUCGGUAGAACACCAUCAUGAGCUCAAUGUGACUAAAGAGUUAGUCACACGAUGACGUGCUACGGAACGAGUAAAGAGACUUACCGGUAACGAGAUUAAACAAGGUAUAGGUAUACCGACGAUCGAAUCUCGGGCAAGUUCUAUACCGACAGACAAAGGGACUCGUAUACGGGAUUGAUUGAACUCUUGACAUCGUGGUUCAUCCGAUGAGAUCAUCGUGGAGCAAGUGGGAGCCACCAUGGGUAUCCAGACCCCGCUGAUGGUUAUUGGCCAGAGAGGUGUCUCGGUCAUGUCUGCCUGUCUCCCGAACCCGUAGGGUCUACACACUUAAGGUUCGAUGACGCUAGGGUUAUAGGGAAUUGUUAUACGAGGUUACCAAAAGUUGUUCGGAGUCCCGGAUGAGAUCCCGGACGUCACGAGGAGCUCCGGAAUGGUCCGUAGGUAAAGAUUGAUAUAUAGGACGGAUGGUUUCGGAUACCGAAAGUUUUUCGGGCAUCACCGGUAACGUACCGGGACCACCGGGACCACCGGAGGUGGCCCCGGGGGACCACCGAAGGGGGGCAACGACCCCAAAAGGCUAGAUGGGCCAAGUGCGGGAGGGAACCAGCCCCUAGGUGGGCUGGUGCGCCUCCCACACCCAGCCCAAUGCGCAAGUGGUGGAUGAGAGGGGGCAACCGUAGGCACAGGUGGGCCUUAGGCCCACCAGGUGGUGCGCCACCCCCUCCCACCCCCCCCCCCCCCCCCCCCCUCCCCCCCUUGGGNNNNNNNNNNNNNNNNNNNNNNNNNNNNNNNNNNNNNNNNNNNNNNNNNNNNNNNNNNNNNNNNNNNNNNNNNNNNNNNNNNNNNNNNNNNNNNNNNNNNNNNNNNNNNNNNNNNNNNNNNNNNNNNNNNNNNNNNNNNNNNNNNNNCGCAGCCCUCCUCUUCUUCCUCCUCCUCUCCGCCGGUGCUUGGCGAAGCCCUGCCGGGAGACCUCGUCUCUCCAUCGACACCACGCCGUCGUGUUUCUGGAGUUCUUCCCCAACCUCUCCCUCCUCCUUGCUGGAUCAAGGUGCGGGAGACGUCACCGGGCUGCACGUGUGUUGAACGCGGAGGUGCCGUUGUUCGGCACUAGAUCGGAAUCACACCGAGUACGACUCCAUCAACCGCGUUCUAGCAACGCUUCCGCUUAGCGAUCUUCAAAGGUAUGAAGAUGCUCUUACCCCUCUCUCGUUGCUGGUCUCUCCAUAGAAGAUCUGAAUAUGCGUAGAAAUUUUUUGAAUUUAUGCUAUGUUACCCAACAGGUGCCGCACCCCCUAGGGUGGGAACCCUAGGGGUGGCACCCCCUCUCCCCUCCCCCUAUAUAUAUCGGGCACUUUUGGCCAUUGAGACACACGGUUUUUCCCUCUCUCUCGGUGCAGCCCUGCUCUUCUUCCUCCUCCUCUCUGCCGGUGCUUGGCGAAGCCCUGCCGAGAGACCUCGUCUCUCCAUCGCCACCACACCGUCGUGUUGCUGGAGUUCUUCCCCAACCUCUCCCUCCUCCUUGCUGGAUCAAGGUGCAGGAGACGUCACCGGGCUGCACGUGUGUUGAACGCGGAGGUGCCGUUGUUCGGCACUAGAUCGGAAUCGCUGCGAGUACGACUCCAUCAACCGCGUUCUAGCAACGCUUCNNNNNNNNNNNNNNNNNNNNNNNNNNNNNNNNNNNNNNNNNNNNNNNNNNNNNNNNNNNNNNNNNNNNNNNNNNNNNNNNNNNNNNNNNNNNNNNNNNNNAUUAUCGUUGAUCAAGAGGUUAUUCAGUAGGGUCUCAGCUUGUUCUAUAGUUCGUUCCCUAAAAACACAACCGGCACAACUAUCGAGGUAGUCUCUAGAGGCAUCGGUAAGUCCAUUAUAGAGGAUAUCAAGUAUCUCGUUCUUCUUAAGAGGGUGAUCAGGCAAAGCAUUCUGUAGCUGGACGAGCCUCCCCCAAGCUUGUGGAAGACUCUCUUCUUGGAGUUGAGCAAAGUUGUAUAUUUGCUGCAAGGCAGCUUGCUUCUUUUGGGCAGGGAAAUAUUUCUCACAGAAGUAAUAGACCAUCUCCUGGGGACUACGCACACAUCCAGGAGCAAGAGAGGUGAACCAGGCUUUAGCGUCAUCCUUUAGAGAGAAAGGAAAUAGCUUAAGGAUAUAGUAGUGGCGAAUCUUCUCCUCAUUAGUGAAGAGGUUGGCUAUUUCGGAUAGUUUGGCAAGAUGGGCUAUGACCGUCUCAGACUCAUAAACGUGAAAAGGAUCAGAUUCGACUAGAGAGAUUAUCUCAGGGUCGACACAGAAUUCAUAAUCCUUAUCGGUGACAAAGAUAGGCGAAGUGGCAAACUUCGGGUCAUUUUUCAUCCUAGCUUCCCGAGAUUUUUCCUUCCACUUGAGAAGUAAUUUCUCAGCGUCAUAGGCAUCCUUACACGCAAGAAAAUCCUUAGCUAUCUCUCCCUCCAUAACAUAACCCUCAGGUAUAACAUGCAAUUCAUAUCUAGGAGAGCUAGAUCUAACAGGAGCAAAAGCAGGUUCUAUCUCAAUAGUAUCGGCAGUAUCAGAGGCAUCACGAGCAUUGGCAGUAACUCUAGCAAUAUGAGCAUCAAGGAACACUCCUAGUGGAACAUCAGGCAAAGGAGUAUCUCUAGCAGUAUCAAGCAUAGCAUCAUCAGGCAAAAUAGCAUCUCUAGGAUCAUCAGACAAAGCAGUAUCAGGCAUAGUAUCAUGAGGCAUAGGCGACAUAUCAAGAUUUAUAGCAGGAGGUGAUGUCGCAAACUUACUCAUAACCGAAGGUGAAUCAAGUGCAGAGCUAGAUGGCAAUUGCUUACCUCCCCUCGUAGUUGAGGGCAAGACUUUGGUCUUCGGAUCCUUCCGAUUCUUCAUAGUGAUCAGUAGAUAUAAAUCCCAAGUGACUCAGAGAAUAUAGCAAUACCUCCCCGGCAACGGCGCCAGAAAAAUGUUGAUCGUGCAAUCUCUGGCGUUAGCUAGACGAAUGCUUAUAACAACANNNNNNNNNNNNNNNNNNNNNNNNNNNNNNNNNNNNNNNNNNNNNNNNNNNNNNNNNNNNNNNNNNNNNNNNNNNNNNNNNNNNNNNNNNNNNNNNNNNNAUAUCAUCCAAACAAAUCACCGACCCAUUGCCUACGAGUUUGUCCUACUGUUGUUACUUGUCUUGCUCUGCUGCUACUACUGUUUCUACUGCUGUUACUUGUCUUGCUCUGCUGCUACUACGGUUGCUACUGAUGUUACUUGUCUUUCUCUGCUGCUGCUACUACUAUCGCUUGCUACUGUUGCUACUUGCUACUGCUGUCGCUACUGUUGUUCCUUGCCACUGCUAUUGCUCGUUAUACUGCCGUUACUCGCUACUUUGCUGUUACUACUGUGCUUGCAGAUACUAAUUUUUCAGGUGUGGUUGAAUCUGACAAAUUCAGCUGCUAAUACUUGGGAGUAUACUCUCACCUCCCGUCGUGCAAACCAACAAAUUGGGUCGAAUACUCUACCCUCGAAAACGGUUGCGAACCCACGCGCUGAUGGGCCGUCAACAACAUUCUUCUAGUUUCAUUACUGGGGAGUGCUAUCAGCAUUCUUCUGGUGCCGUUGCAGGAGAAGGUUUGUUGUUAUAAGCAUUCGUCUAGCUAACGCCAGAGAUUGCACGAUCAGCGAGCUUGCCCGAGUCCAGGUUCCGAUACCAGUACUUGGCCAAACGCAUGGCCAUGUAAGCCCCAACCCGCGCGGCAGAGGCGCGCUAGGCAUCCAUGCGUUCUCCGCCUACUGCAAGCCAGCGGGCGAGCCGACUCAUUGACGCCGGCUCCACGCCUUCCGGCCACAAAGCCGCCACCAUCGACGAGCCUGCGACCUGGAGCUGAGCCACAUACUCGCCCAGGGCGCGCAGGCGGGCCUGAAGGCCCACCCCAAUCUCCUCCACGCUCCAGCCGGAGGUAGUGUCUACCUCCUGCCCAGCCGCGCGGCGCUCCUCGCGGCUCACCUCGACGGCUGUGGCGGCCGCGAUCUGGGUCGCAGGAAAGAGACCUGGAAUAGCGACAGCCAGAACGCAAGAGCACAGUGAGAAGAGGAGACGGCCAAAAAGACCAAAAACAAUACAAAGAAAAGAGACUCGCGAUGGAAGGCGCCAUUGGUCUCAUGGGAGCUCUCGAGGACCUCAAGCUCCCGCACCUUACUCGCGUGAGUAAGGUGGAAAACCUCCUCCUCGAGAGUCGCCGUAGACUCCAAGGCCUUGGCCAGCUGCGAUUGCUUCUGGACAAGGGCCUCCUCCUUCUCCCUCAAGGCGGCGUUGCUACCUCAAAAAGAUCCCCGACAACGGUGCCGGAAAUACUUCUGAUUGUUCUGCUGUGUAUCCCUUGCAACGGCGCCAGGAAUUAGUUGUGUCGACGGCACCAGGAAUCCUUCAGCUACGGCUACGCCUUAAGGGACUUCCAAGGCAAGUAUGCAAAGGAUUUCCCUCGUGACCUUGGAGCCUUGCGUUGGUGUUCCCUCGAAGCGGAAAGGGUGAUGUAGCACAACGAUGGUAAGUAUUUCCCUCAGUUUGAGAACCAAGGUAUCAAUCCAGCGGAAGAGUAUCUCAAGAUCCUGCACAAACACAAAAGCUUGCACCCAACGCUAUGAAGGGGUUGUAAAUCCCUUAUAGAUUGUUUGCCAAGUGAGAACUGAAAGCAACAAAGUAACAAAGCAAAGUAAAAGCGGAGAUGUAAACGAUGGAUGUGAAUAGACCCGGGGGUCUUAGUCUUUACUAGUGGCUUCUCUCAUAAAAGCAAGUAGACGGCGGGUGAACAAAUUACUGUCGAGCAAUUGAUAGAACUGUGCAGAGUUGUGACGAUAUCUAUGCAAUGAUUAUUUCUAUAGGCAUCACGUCCAAAACAAAUAGACCAAUACUUUCUGCAUCUACUACUAUUACUCCACACGUCGACCGCUAUCCACCAUGCAUCUAGUGGAUUAAGUCCAUAAGAACAGAGUACCGCCUUAAGCAAGAUGACAUGAUGUAGAGGGAUAAUCUCAAACCAAUGAUAAAUCCCCCAUCUUUUUACCCUUGAUGGCAACUGCUUGAUGUGUGCCUUGCUUCCCCUACUGUCACUGGGAAAGGUCACCACAUGGCAGAACCCAAAACCAAGCACUUCUCCCAUUGCAAGAAUCAUAGAUCUAGUUGGGCAAACAAAACCCAAGACUCAGAGAGACUUACAAGGAUAUCAAAUCAUGCAUAUAAGAAAUCAGCAAAGACUCAAAUAUAUAUCAUAGAUAAUCUGAUCACAAAUCCACAAUUCAUCGGAUCUCGACAAACACACCGCCAAAGAAGAUUACAUCGGAUAGAUAUCCAUGAAGAUCAUGGAGAACUUUGUAUUGAAGAUCCAAGAUAGAGAAGAAGCCAUCUAGCUACUAACUACGGACCCGUAGGUCUGAAGUGAACUACUCACGAGUCAUUGCAGGGGCGAUGAUAAUGAAGAAGAAGCCCUCCACCUCCAAAGUCCCCUCCGGCAGGGUGCCGGGAAGGGUCUCCAGAUGAGAUCUCGCGAAAACGGAAGCUUGCAGCGGCGGACAAGUUUUUUCGAGGCUCUCCUGAUUUUUUGCGGAAUAUUUGGGAAUAUAUAGGCGCAAGAUCGAGGUCGGGGGGCGGCCAGGGUGGCCACAAGCUUGCCCACCGCCGCCUCCCCCUGGUGGCGUGGUGGGAGCUUGUGGGCUCCCUGGGGCCCACCUGGCUUGGCCCAAAGGCUCCCUGGUCUUCUUUCGUUCGGGAAAAAAUCAUUUCGGGGUUUUUAUUCCGUUUGGACUCCGUUCCAAAAUCAGAUCUGAAAAGAGUCAAAAACACGGAAAAAACAGGAACUGGCACUUGGCACCGAAUUAAUAAGUUAGUCCCAAAAAGAUAUAAAAAGGUACAUAAAACAUUAACUAGGCAUAUCAAUGAGCUGUGGAGAUGCUCAUCAAUAGAUAUCAAUGUGAAUGAGUAGGGAUUGCCAUACAAAUGAUGCACUAGAGCUAAGAGUAAGUGAUAUCUCUUAAAGAAAACUAGUGGGUGUGCAUCCAACUUGCUUGCUCACGAAGACCUAAGGCAAUUUUGAGGAAACCUAUCAUUUGAAUAUACAAGCCAAGUUAUAUAAUGAGAAUUUCCCACUAGCUAUAUGGUGGUGACAAAACGAGAGACUCUCAAUCAUGAAGAUCAUGGUGCUCAAUAUGCACAAGUGUGGAAAAAGUGGUAGCAUUGUCCCUUCUCUCUUUUUCUCUCAUUUAUUAUUAUUAUUUUGGUGGGCUCUUUGGCCUUUUUUAUGGGCUUCUUUGGCCUCUUUUAUUUCCUCACAUGGGACAAUGCUCCAAUAAUGAUGAUCAUCACACUUUCAACUCAAAACUUAGAGCAAUUAUGACUCUGUAUGGAAUGCCUUCGGUAGUGUACCGUGGCAAUGAUCUAGCAUGGCAUAGACAUCAAUGGAAACAUCAUGCUAGCUAUCUUACGAUCAUGCAAAGGCAAUGUAGACGUGGUGGCACAUAUCAUGGUGGUAGUUGCAUGGCAAUAUAUCUCGGAAUGACUUUGAAAAAGCCAUAGUAGGUAGGUAUGGUGGCUGUUUUGAGGGAGGCUAAUGGUGGGUUUUGUGCACCGGCGAAAGUUGCACGGCACUAAGAAGAUAGUGAUGGUGGAAGGUGAAAGUACAUCUAAACCAUGGAUUCAACAUUAGUCAUGAAGAACUCAUAUACUUGUUGCAAAGGUUUUAUUAGUAAUCGAAACAAAGCAUUCAACGCAUACUACUAGGGGAAGGGUUGGUAGGUAUAAACCAUCGCGCGAUCCCGACCGCCACGCAAAGGAUGACAAUCAAUAUACUAAUCAUGCUCAGAUUUCAUCACAUAGCGGUUCACCAUACGUGCAUGCUAUGGGAAUCACUAACUUCAAAACAAGUAUUUCUAGAUCCACAACACCUUACUAGCAUGACUUCAAUAUUACCAUAACCACAACUCAAAACUAAUUGAGAUGAAUCAAACUUCUCUAACUAUUCAAUGCACAUGAAGGUGGAAGUUUUCGUAUCCCUUUGGAUAACUACCCCUUUUGAGACUACUUUCAAAGCAUAGAUCAACUACCAAGCCACGCACGAUUAUGCUCUAAAAGAUAUAAGUGAAGCACAUAGAGCAAAAGUAUCUAGCUCAAAAGAUAUAAGUGAAGCACAUGUGAGCUGAAUUGUCUACCAAAAGAUAUAAGUGAAGCUCGACAAAAUCACGGUGUGUGCAUGUCUCUCUCUCUAGGUGUGCAGCAAGGAUGAUUGUGACACAACAAAAAUAAAAGACUCCUACGAUACAAGACGCUCCAAGCAAAAACACAUAACAUGUGGUGAAUAAAAAUAUAGCCCCAAGUAACGUUACCGAUGGAUUGAAGACGAGAGAGGGGAUGCCUUCCCGGGGCAUCCCCAAGCUUAGGCUUUUAUGGCAUCCUUGAAUCUCUUGGGGUGCCUUGGGCAUCCCCAAGCUUGAGCUCUUGCCACACUUUAUCUUUUUGUCCAUAAGAACUUCACCCAAAACUUGAAACUUCACAACACGAAACUUAAACAGAAACUCGUGAUAACAUUAGUACAAGAAAGCAAACCACCACUUCCUUAGAUACUGUAGCAAACUUAAAUUCUACUUGUGCUGAUGUUGGGUUACUGUACUUUCAAUCUUCCAUGGCUAAUACCCCCUGAUGGGGUCAUAGUCCCAGGGUAGGGUCAUAGGCCUGCCUAUAGGUCCUACCCAAGGACUACCCUUCAUAGAGGACAAGGCCCUUAGACAGUUCCGACUGAACUAAGGACUCCCCCAUCAUCCAGUCGGUGACGAGCAUUCGGAGCGUGUUUAACGUACCGACUGAAUUCCACUAUGUACAUCGUAACCUCCCAGGAGGGCAACGGUCAUACGUUUUCAUACACCAUUAUUAGCAUUUAAGGCAUACAUUACCUGUAACGUAGGCAUUUAUUCGCCACUAUUCCACCCCUGUCCACCGGGCUGUUGUGGAGGGUAGCGCACUCUAUAUAAGCCGCCUUUCCCCACUAGUGCAGGGGUUGGCAUUUACUGUAAUCCUAUAUUCCACUCGACACUAAGCUCCCAAGAGCACUGAGACGUAGGGCUUUUACCUCCACCGUAGAGGGGCCUGAACUCAUACAUCCUCGCCGUAGCUAAGGCUCUGCCCAUCCUUUCGUACCCUACACAUCUACUGUCAGACUUAUACCCACGACAGUUGGCGCCCACCAUGGGGCCGGCGUCUAAGCGACUUCCGGCGAGUUUGCGACUUCAUUUUUUUAUCAUGUCGUCCGGCGGUGAUUUGUGCAUGGGUCAUGAGAUCCUCUUCGGCGCACUCUCCUUCAUCGUCGAUGAUUCGGCAUGGCUUCGGGAUGCGCCCCUCGAUGUCGAGGCGCUCCCCAGUCGCGGGGCUACGCACUUCCGUGCCGAUUCCCGCGGCAUCCUUCUUCCUCAGCAAUCGGCCCUGGUGUCGAUCUUCGCCCCCGUCACGCGCCGCAACAAGCGAUCCCGCCGUCCACGGCUGCAGCAUUGGGUGCGACAUGCCCAGGCGCGAGAGAACGCGUCCUCUCAAGUGGCGGUCCUCGAGUCUGUUGUGGUCGCGCCGCCAUCCCAGUGCUUGGACUCAGUUCCGACUGAGUUACCUUCCGAGUACUUGGGUCGCGGGCCUGCAGCCGAAGUUCUCAUGGCUGAUUCCCAUGAAAGUCCCCUCCGAACUGGUCGGAACGAGUAUGAGGUCGACGAAUCAUCCGGCGCUUGUCGUCAACACCGCCGCUCUGCCAGUCGGCGCACCCUCCAGAGCAACGUCGAGGUGUUCCGCACACCCGUCCUCAACCAGGCUGCCGUUGCCAAGAUAGCCGAUUCCCUCCAACCGACUAAUUCAGAGGCUGGUAGAGGGAUCGAGCAGAUCCGUGCCGUGUUGCACACGGCACAGCAGCAGAAUUCGGCGGUCUCCCAGUCGCACAACAGGAUCCACAACAGUUCUGUUCACGCGAACACGCAUCGGUCGGUUUUCAGCCCCGACUCUCAUCAGCGACACAGAGGGAGCAGCCGUUCCAUGAAUCCCGAAGAUCGUCGUCGUUCAAGCACCCCUCCGCGGGGUGGGCCUUACGGGCCCCGACAUCACGAUGAUCGGCGUUCAGUCGGUGACAUGUCUGAUCCAAGGCCCAACGCAAGAGGGUACAUCGCCCAUAGGAAGGUCGACAGGAGUCGAGCCCACCGUGAUGGUCAUGAUAGAGACCGUCCGAGUGGAAGCAGGACCAUCGUCUCUGGUCCCGAGUGCUUUAGUCGGGCCAUCCGUUCAGCUGACAUCCCUCCCAACUUCCGAUUGGCGACGGGGAUCAGCAAGUUCACAGGAGAGUCCAAGCGAGAAACGUGGCUGGACGACUACCGAGUGGCGGUCCAGAUCGGUGGCGGAGAUGACCAGGUCGCCAUGAAACAUCUCCCCCUGAUGCUCGACGGCUCGGCACGAGCGUGGCUGAACCAGUUGGCUCCGUCAAGCAUCUACAGCUGGGCAGAUCUGUCCCGAGUCUUCAUCAGGACCUUCGAGGGCACGUGCAAACGCCCUGCUGGUCUCGUGGAGCUCCAGCACUGUGUCCAGAAGCAGAAUGAACCCCUGCGUGAUUUCAUCCAGCGCUGGACGACCCUCUACCACACGGUGGAGAACGUUACAGAGCACCAAGCAGUCUGCGCCUUCAAGGCAGGCGUGCGGUACAGAGAUCUGUACCUGAAGUUCGGUCGGACAGGCGACAUCUACAUGAGCAAGAUGAUGGAGAUAGCCGCACGCUAUGCAAAUGGCGAAGAAGAGGACCACAUACGUAGCGGAAAGCAUAAGGCAGUCACCGAUGGAGAUGGGAACAGCAAUCGGAAGCAGAAGCAGAAAGCUCCGUCCACUCCGCAGGCAGAGGCAGCAGCCGUUACCAAUGUGAAGUUCAAGGGCAAGGGGAAAGCCCAAUACACCCCCAAGAAGAAAUAGUUCGGGAAUUCCAUCCUGGAUCAGCCAUGUCCAAUCCACACGAAGAUGGACGAAGAAGGCAACGCCAUAUUCCCGAAGCACACCACUCGGCAAUGUCGCCUCCUGAUCCAAGGGUUCGGCCAAGGGCAGCCGAGCGAAAAGGACAACGAGCAGGAUGAUGAGGACAAGGAGGAUCCGUUCCCCAAGUCCAUGCAACAUUGAUGAUUUUUGCUGACGUGGAAAGCAAGAGUCGAUUGAAGCUGGUGAACAGGGAGGUGAACAUGGCAACCCCAACCAACCCCACGUUCCUCAAAUGGUCUCAGACUGCGAUCACCUUUGAUUAGUCGGACCAUCCAGCACAUGUACCCACCCCAGGGAGGCAAGCUCUGGUCGUCGACCCGGUGGUGGAAGGAGUCCGACUGCGCAAAGUCCUCAUGGACGGCGGCAGCGGCUUGAACAUCAUGUACGCCGACACUCUCAAGGGGAUGGGCAUUCUGAUGUACAAACUUAGCGAGAGCAGCAUGCAGUUCCACGGAGUCGUCCCAGGACGAAAGGCCAAGUCACUCGGCCAGAUCGCGUUGGACGUCGUUUUCGGCUCCGACAAGAACUUCCGCAAGGAAAGGCUGACAUUCGAGGUGGUGGACUUCCAAAGUGCAUACCAUGCGAUUCUGGGCCGUCCGGCGUAUGCGCGUUUCAUGGCCCGUCCAUGUUACGUGUAUUUGAAGCUGAAGAUGCCGGGUCCUAAAGGUGUGAUCACGGUCAUAGGCAAUCGGCAGCGGGCCAAGGAGUGUCUGCAGCAGGGGUCGAGGAUUGCCGACCAGCAGAUGGCUAUCCUCGAGCUGGAUGAGUACAAGAAGACAGCCGACCCCGCUGACAUGAUGCGUUCGAAGAAGCCAGCUUCGGAGUCUGCAUUCAAGUCGACGGGAGACACGAAGAAAGUCAGCAUCCACCCGAUGGACGACGCCGCUGCCCCGACGAACAUCUCCACCACCCUUGAUCCAAAAUAGGAAGCCGAGCUCAUCCAAUUCCUCCGUGAGAACUGGGACAUUUUUGCAUGGAAGCCCGCUGACAUGCCAGGUGUACCCAGGGAGUUGGCUGAGCACUGACUGCAUGUGGAUCCUGCUGCUCGGCCCGUCCGAGAACGUCUGCGUCGGUCCGCCGCGCACAAAAGGAAGGCAAUCGGAGAGGAGGUGGCUAAACUUUUGGCAGCCAACUUCAUUUGCGAGGUACACCACUUCGAGAGGCUCGCCAAUGUUGUCAUGGUGCCCAAGAAGGACAAGUCUCUCCGUAUGUGCAUCGACUUCAAGCAUCUCAAUAAGGUCUGCCCGAAAGAUCAUUUCUCGCUCCCCCGCACUGAUGAAAUUGUUGAUUCGACUGCGGGUUGCGAGCGUUUAUCAUUCCUUGAUGCCUAUUCGGGCUAUCAUCAGAUCCGUCUGUAUGGUCCGGACGAAUUAAAAACAGCCUUCAUCACCCCAUUCGGGUGUAUCUGCUACAUCACUAUGCCAUUCGGUUUGAAGAAUGCAGGAGCAACUUUUAUGCGCAUGAUCCAAAAAUGCCUCCUUGACCAGAUCGGUCGAAAUGUGGAGGCAUAUAUGGACGAUAUCGUAGUCAAGUCACCCAAAGGUUCCGACCUGCUGACUGACUUGGCAGAAACAUUCGCCAACCUACGUAGGUAUGAUAUCAAGCUCAACCCAGCCAAGUGAUCAUUCGGCGUUCCCAGCGGGAAGUUACUUGGUUUCUUCAUUUCCGAACGAGGGAUCGAUGUCAACCCCGAAAAGAUCGGGACCAUCGUCCGAAUGGAACGGCCGGUCAGAAUACAUGAUGUUCAAAGGCUCACAGGUUGCCUAGCGGCUUUGAGCAGGUUUAUCGCUCGACUCGGCGAGAAGGCGUUACCUAUGUACCGACUCAUGAAGAAAUCAGAUACCUUCGAGUGGACAGACGAAGCCCAAAUUGCAUUCGACGACCUCAAAGCCCUGCUUUCCACCCAACCGGUUCUUACUGCCCCGCUCAGUAAAGAACCCCUUCUUUUGUACAUCGCGGCUACAAAUCAAGUCGUCAGCACCGUUCUGACAGUCGAACGCGAAGAAGAAGGCAAAGCGUUCAAGGUUCAACGGCCAGUAUAUUAUGUCUCUGAAGUCCUGACUCCUUCCAAGCAGAGGUAUCCCCAUUAUGAAAAGCUUAUUUAUGGGAUCUACAUGACUGCAAAGAAGGUGGCUCAUUAUUUCCAUGACCACUCGGUGUCUGUCAUUUCUGAUGCUCCGUUGUCGGAAAUCCUCCACAAUCGGGACGCAUCAGGUCGAGUGGCGAAGUGGGCAAUGGAGAUGUUAUACUGCGAUAUCAAGUUCGAAGCCAAGAAGGCUAUAAAGUCUCAAGCUCUGGCUGACUUCAUAGAAGAAUGGGUAGAACAACAGCAACCGACUCACAUCUACUCGGCUCAUUGGACCAUGUUUUUCGAUGGGUCCAAGAUGUUGAAUGGCUCCGGCGCUGGCGUAGUAAUCAUAUCGCCAAAAGGUGAUAAACUCAAGUAUGUGUUGCAGAUACAUUUCGAUUCUUCCAACAAUGAGGCAGAGUACGAAGCUCUCCUUUAUGGAUUGCGCAUGGCCAUCACACUCGGCGUCCGUCGCCUGAUGGUCUAUGGCGAUUCAGAUCUGGUGGUUAAUCAAGUGAUGAAGGAAUGGGACGUAAGGAACCCCACCAUGACCGCAUACUGCAACGCAAUAAGGAAGCUCGAGAAGAAGUUUGAAGGUCUGGAACUUCACCAUGUUCCCCAACUGAAAAACCAAGCAGCUAAUGAGUUGGCAAAACUCGGAUCCACUCGGAGACCAGUCCCGAGUGAUGUCUGCCUCGAGCACCUACAUCUCCCUUCGGUGAAAGAAGAUCCUUUUAUAGAGGAACCGGUACAACCGAAGAGUUCAACAGAUCCGACUGAAGUCGAGGUCCCCGCUGUGGUUGAUUUGAUUAUGGAGAUUCUUGACGUUGUCCCCGAAUGGACUGUGCCGUUCAUUGCGUACACCCUGAGGCAAGAAUUACCAGAAGACGAAGUCCAAGCUAGGCAGAUCGUCCGCAGGUCGAAGUCCUUCACCGUCAUUGAUGGACAGUUGUACAAGGAAAGUGUUUCAGGCGUCCUUCAGCGGUGCAUCUCCCCUGAGGAGGGACAGUUAAUCCUGGAAGAAAUUCACUCGGGAACUUGCGGCCAUCAUGCCUCCUCAAGAGCAAUCGUCACCAAAGCAUUCAGAGCUGGUUUCUUCUGGUUGCACGCGAAUGAAAUGGCAAAAGAUAUGGUCGACCGAUGUGAAGGCUGUCAGUUCUAUUCGAACAAGUCCCACAAGCCAACAUCUGCGCUGAAGACAAUCCCUCUUGUUUGGCCGUUCGCCAUGUGGGGGUUAGAUACAGUCAGACCAUUCAGAACAGGCCAAGGGGGAUUCACUCAUCUGUUGGUAGCAGUCGACAAGUUUACCAAGUGGAUUGAAGCCAAGCCCAUCAAGAAGCUCGACGCCCUUACGACCAUCAAAUUUGUCAGAGACAUCAUCGCCAGAUUCGGGGUUCCGCACAGCAUAAUCACCGACAAUGGCACAAACUUUGACUUGGACAGAUUCAAAGGUUUUUGCACAGGCCAAGGUAUCCGAGUGGAUUUUUCAUCUGUGGCGCACCCCCAAACAAACGGGCAAGCAGAGCGAGCGAAUGGACUUAUUCUUCAAGGGUUGAAGCCUCGACUCCUGCGAGAAGUUGGACAUGCCGCCGGCGCAUGGGUCACCGAGCUGCCUUCGGUGUUGUGGGGCCUCCGCACAACUCCAAAUAGAUCUAUAGGGCGAUCCCCGUUCUUCCUCGUUUAUGGAGCCGAGGCAGUCCUUCCGAGUGAUUUGCUUCACAACUCCCCACGAGUCGAACUCUUCUCCGAAGCCGAAGCAGAGCAAGCCAGGAAAGACAGAGUAGAUCUUCUAGAAGAAGAGCGCGAGAUGGCACUGACUCGCUCAACAAUUUAUCAACAAGAUCUGCGGCGAUUUCACUCGCGACACGUCAGGAGUCGUACAUUCCAAGCAGGCGACCUGGUGCUCCGAGUGGAUCAGUAGAGACCUCACAAGUUAGCUCCCGCCUGGGAAGGACCCUUCAUCAUCUCUAAGGUGCUGAACAACAGAGCGUAUCGACUCUACAACCUUGACAGAGAAACGGACGAGCCGUGAGCAUGGAAUGGAGAUCUCCUGAAGCGCUUCUACACGUGACCACCGACGGGGACAAUGUAAAGAACAAGUAUCAUUAAAGUAAUACAGAGCAAAUCGAUUUCUUGGAGGUUCAAAAAAUUUCCACGUUUGCAGACUCCGGUCUAAAAACUCACUCCGAGUGCACACCAAAAGCCGCACUCGGGGACUUAGCUACGACCCAGAAUCGCCUAAGUAAAAACUCGCUCCGAGUGCGCACCAAAAGCCGCACUCGGGGACUUAGCUGCGACCCAGAAUCGCCUAAGUAAAACCUCGCUCCGAGUGCGCACCAAAAGCCGCACUCGGGGACUUAGCUGCGACCCAGAAUCGCCUAAGUAAAACCUCGCUCCGAGUGCGCACCAAAAGCCGCACUCGGGGACUUAGCUGCGACCCAGAAUCGCCUAAGUAAAAACUCGCUCCGAGUGCGCACCAAAAGCCGCACUCGGGGACUUAGCUGCGACCCAGAAUCGCCUAAGUACAAACUCGCUCCGAGUGCGCACUAAAUCCGCACUCGGAGACUUAACUGCGAUCCAGAAUCGCCUAAGUAAAAAAGCUUCCUUUGAGUGUAUCCUCGAGAUCCACUCGGAGGCUUAGCAGACCCUCAUUGAGGCUCAUGUGGAUGUGAAGACAACUGACAACUACAUGAGUAAAAACUCGCUCCGAGUGCGCACCAAAAGCCGCACUCGGGGACUUAGCUGCGACCCAGAAUCGCCUAAGUAAAAACUCGCUCCGAGUGCGCACCAAAAGCCGCACUCGGGGACUUAGCUGCGACCCAGAAUCGACUAAGUACAAACUCGCUCCGAGUGCGCACUAAAAGAUGCACUCGGAGACUUAGCUGCGAUCCAGAAUCGCCUAAGUAAAAAGCUUCCUUCGAGUGUUUCCUCGAGAUCCACUCGGAGGCUUAGCAGACCCUCAUUAAGGCUCAUGUGGAUGUGAAGACAACUGACAACUACAUGAGUAAAAACUCACUCCAAGUGCGCACCAAAACCUGCACUCGGGGACUUAGCUGCGACCCAGAAUCGCCUAAGUAAAAACUCGCUCCGAGUGCACACAAAAGCCGCACUCGGGGACUUAGCUGCGACCCAGAAUCGCCUAAGUACAAACUCGCUCCGAGUGCGCACUAAAAGAUGCACUCGGAGACUUAGCUGCGAUCCAGAAUCGCCUAAGUAAAAAGCUUCCUUCGAGUGUUUCCUCGAGAUCCACUCGGAGGCUUAGCAGACCCUCAUUAAGGCUCAUGUGGAUGUGAAGACAACUGACAACUACAUGAGUAAAAACUCGCUCCGAGUGCGCACCAAAAGCCGCACUCGGGGACUUAGCUGCGACCCAAAAUCGCCUAAGUAUAAACUCGCUCCGAGUGUGCACUAAAAGCUGCACUCAGAGACUUAGCUGCGAUCCAGAAUCGCGUAAGUAAAAAAGCUUCCUUCGAGUGUAUCCUCGAGAUCCACUCGGAGGCUUAGCAGACCCUCAUUGAGGCUCAUGUGGAUGUGAAGACAACUGAAAACUACAUGAGUAACAACUCGCUCCGAGUGCGAGCUUACAGCCGCACUCGGGGACUUAGCUGCGACCCAGAAUCACCUAAGUACAAACUCGCUCCGAGUGCGAGCUUACAGCCGCACUCGGAGACUUAGCUGCGACCCAGAAUCGCCUAAGUACAAACUCGCUCCGAGUGCGCACUAAAAGCCUCACUCGGGGACUUAGCUGCGAUCCAGAAUCGCCUAAGUAUAAAGCUUCCUUCGAGUGUAUCCUCGAGAUCCACUCGGACGCUUAGCAGACCCUCAUUGAGGCUCAUGUGGAUGUGAAUACAACUGACAACUACAUGAGUAUCAACUCACUCCGAGUGCGCACGAAAAGUCACACUCGGAGACUUAGCUGCGACUUAGAGUCGCCUAAGUAAAAAAGCUCCCUCAUGUUUGCCAUUGGCUUCACCAAGAAACGCCAAACAAAAACAACGAGCCAAAAUCGUGUCAAAAAAAUGUUGGCGAAAGAAGAGCAAAAUAUUCGAUUCGAUUUCAAAGUUGGAUCUACGACCAGUCGGCUCGGUGUGGAUCAAGCUUAUCCACACCGAACCACGAAUGUGACGGCCAACAGCAGUGGCCAAAGUUUGAUACAGAUACCACUCGGCAUACCGAGGUAAAGUUUUUCAAGCGUCACCGGGACUGGCAGGCUCCACAAAGGUGUCAAGGUCGAUCCCGUCUGCGAUGCGAGUGGCUAUGUCGAGUAAGGUCUCCAUGAAAUCUUUGAAUCGAAGCUUCUUGGUGUUGGCGACCUGCAACGCCUUCGGCUUUUCUUCGCAAGCUUCCUUGCAAUGCACUCGGACCAGAGAUAGCGCCACGUCCGCACCACAACGAGCGGCAGACUUCUUCCAUGCCUGCACUCUGUUCGGGACGUUCUCCAGCCGAGUCAUCAACCCUUCUAUUUCUUGCCGGGAAUCGUCUUCGGGCCACAGCUCCUUGUCGAUCCGGCCGAUGACUUCUCUCACGCGGCCAAUGAAAGGUCCCACUCUGCCAAGGCGAAUAUGCGUUCGGAGCAAGUCCCGAUUGGCUUCGUUGCCGAGUGGAACGUUCGCAACAAUCGACAGUUCAAUGUCGGCUGCUUCAGCCUCAGCGUCCAGACAAAAAUCUGCCAAGAAAAGACAAGCAGAAAGUAAGCGCAGAAUAAACUCCAAAGUUAGGAAGCACUCGGCAAAAAGGCUUACCACCAAAUAGUGCAAUCAUCUUCCUUGCCCAGUCGUUGACGUACUUCUCCUGCGCCAUGCACCGAUUGUUCAUCAACUUCAGCUGACCCAUCCGUUCGAUUCUUUGACUCUUCAAUUUCUCAAUUUAGGCUACCAAUGCCUUGUUGGUCUCCCGGGACUCCUCCAAAGACUUCUCUCGGUCAGCAAGAGCCCCCUUCACACCAGCCAAGUCAUUCACAGCCGCCUCCAAGUCCGCAACAAGCUGAAUCUUUUCAGCCUUCAGAGCAUUGUACGCGGAUCCCAUUUCGCAAGUCUUCUGCCAAAUCAGCGCAAAGGGAAGAUCAGACACAUUCAACAAGGAAAACAAUCAAAGCUCAAAGUUCUUCAGACCCCUGCCGAUGCAAGCAAUCGACAACGGUCUCGGGGACUACACCCAGUGGGUUCACUAAGAGUGACCCCACUGGCAUGAAGCUCGAACAGGUCGGCCCUAUUGAGCUACAUGACAAACAGACAAAUCUAUGACACCAUUAUUACCCGACCGGAGUAACACUACUCUCGGGGACUACACCCAGUGGGUGCACUCGGAGUUCCCCCACUGGAACCAUUCGGGCAGAUCAACUGUGAUCCGCUCAGGUCACGGAAAAUGCAUCUAAAGACAACUGCGGGUGCAAGCACUCGACAGAAGUCUCGGGGACUACACCCACUGGGUUCACUCGGAGUGAACUCACUGCAAAAUCAUCCUACUAUAUCCGAGUCUAUCACUGAAACCCCCAGUGGGUGACAAGAGGAAAGUAAACACUUACUAGCGCACUUACUCGGAUAUCGUCCCAGAGCUCCAAGCUUCUCUUGUACAAAGGCGUGAUGGAGUCGUACGCUCCCUUGGCAUCACCCACCAUCAACUCCACCUGCACCAUGGCGUCCUUGGCGGCCCCCACCUGGUCUUCCGGGAGAUGUCGGGCGUCAUACUGAACGGUUGACGGACCCGGCGCGGCAGAAGACUCCUUGGGCAUCCCAAGCUCCGCUCCAGUCGGUUCCGCAGCGAGGAGCACCGUCUCAGUCGGCGGCAUCGUCUCGGUCGGCGGCACGUUCAUGGUGGGAGCAGCAGCAGAUGGGACAACCUCAAGGACAGGCGCUAAAGCUGGCCCUGACCCCCUUUGGUCGUCGUCCUCCAGAUGAAUCACCUCCGAAGGAAGCCCGACUGAACAACAUGAAAUUACAGAAAAAGGGCAAGAUUAAAGGCAACACUCGCGAAACAAUAAAUACAAACUCUCAGAGUCGUGACAACAUACCUUGCUGGGAUGUGGCAGCAUUAUCCGUGUCCAUGGGAUCAUCGUCCUGGUGCGGCUGAGAGGCAGCGGAGGUAGCAGCUCUGUUGAGUGAAAUCCACUCGACAGAUAAGCAUGAGUUCAAUCAGAUACUGAAGGAUGAUGGGAGAGCAAGACACUUAUGCUGAGGCGACUGGAACAGCGAUCCUCAUCCGAGGCAAAGCUUUCUGAGGCUUGGGCCUGCUAGGUUUGGCCACCUUGGACGGCUGGUCCGUGGGUUCGGCAGCAGCAUCCCUAGUCCUCUUCACACUCCGAGCUCUCGGAGCUAUGGGAGGGGCUGGCGGAGCACUCGGGGCCGCUGGAGGAGCCGGCAAAGCCGCGGGAUCGUGACGACGCUUAGUUCGAUGUUCUGAUGGUGGAGGUGGCGAGCUCUGCUCCCCAACCUCCUCCUCCUCCUCUUCGGUCUCCUCCUCCGUCUCCCCACUGUCAGAGACGUACUCGGCGCUGUCCAUGCUGCCCUCCUGGCUGCCCUCCUCUUCCUCAGCUGGAUUCCCGUUCGAGACGGCAGAAUGCCAGUUAGUCCACUCCUGCACAAGACACAGUCGGCAACGUCAGACACCAGGCGGCGGUACAAGAAAACCGAUAAAUCUAAGAAGAUUGAAAGCACUCGACAAGAUGCGCUCACCUCAUUCGGAGGAGGAUUGUCGGCGCGGAAGGGCCUCACUCGCCGGGCUCCUUCGGGGUUGUCGCAUGCGCCUGUGAUGCCGCAGACCCACGCUGUGACAGUCUCCCCGGUCACGCACUCUGGAUGAGUCCGAGUGGAAUCCUCAGGCCCCACGUAGUGCCACAUGGUGUGGUGUCGGGCUUGCAGCGGCUGGAUGCGCUGACCCAGAAAAGUCUCCAGCAAGUCCGUGCCGGUGACUCCCUUGCGGACGACGGCUAUCAAUGCGUCGACCAGAGGCUGGAUCUGGACCUUUUCCAUCUUUGAGAGCGCAAGAUGCCUGGGAGGGGUCGGACGGCCUAGGCUAAAAGGUGGCAGCCCAGUCACAACAUUCGGACAGGCGAUGUCCUGGCAGUAGAACCAAGUCGACUGCCAGUUCCUAACUGACUCGGACAACUGGAGAGGGGGGUAGCUACUUUUUGUUUUCUUCUGGAAGCCUAAGCCCCCGCAGAGUUGGAGGAGAUGGGUCUUAUCAUCUGACUGACUAAGCUUUUUGACAGUUUGGGACCUAGCGGAGAAGACAUACUUAAAGAGCCCCUAGUGGGGGGGGGGGGCAUCCAAUAAAGCACUCGCAAAGGGUGACGAAUGCGGCAAGGUGGGCUAUCGCGUUCGGAGGAAAAUGAUGGAGCUGCGCCCCGAAGUGAUUCAUAAUACCUCUGAAGAAGGGGUGGGGAGGCAGGGAGAAACCCCUGAACACGUGGCUGAGCAGCAGGACGCGCUCCCCCUCCUUCGGCGCCGGCUUCGUCUCGCCCUCCGUCGGCAGCCUCCAUGACUUGUUGGCGAUCAUGUCGUGCUCCACUAGCUCCAGCAAGUCGUCUGCCGUCACCGUGGAGGGGAGGAAAUCCCCCUGGAUCCAACUCACCGGCAGUGCCCGCUGUCGCCGCUGAGCAGGGGCCGCCCCCUUCUUCUUCUUCUUCUGCGCUUCGAGUUUGUUGGUCUGCCCCUUCAUCAUGGUGAAGGCAACAGAUUCGCAGAGGAGGAGAGGAAGGAGGAGGCUUGGGGCGCGCACGGAGCUGCAGGAGGAGCGAGGUUAAUGCGAGGAAGAAGAGCAGCACAACAAGAGAUCCCCGCCGGAAGGGCUUAAAUAAGCUUCCGACUGAGUCGCUAAUAGGUGGCCCAGAAAUCUUAUCCCCCCGACCGGCUGCUGCGAUGUUAGUGGAGAAGAUAACGACGCGGUAAUCGAGGCGGCAGAAACUACUCGAUGGCGAUGUCGUCAUCCCCGCUGAGCGCGCAGCAAC